UUCCUAUGCUAAAAUAUAUCUAACCUACUAAUAGUCAAGAAAUAUAUCUAUUCAACACAUAUUUGUUAGAAAGAUUAUCUACUAAUUAAUCAUUGAGACGAGAUUACGAAUCUCAACAUAAAUUAGGAUAAAAAUUAAUAUAUUGAAAUUCAGAAUAUUUCAAGCUUGUAAAACUACUUUCAAGCGAAUCUGAUAAAAUUAUUUCAAUACUCGUGGGUGACUCCUUUUUAAACCGCAGAAGGAAAUGAUUUUCUCCUUGUUUGUACAAAUAUAAUUUCUUUUUUCAAUUUUGCCUUGUUUUGCUUCUACUUGAUUAUCAAUUGCACAGCCGUUGACCCUGUUCUAUUUCUAUUUCGUUCACUUCCCUAAAAAAAAAAAAAAGAUGGACAUUUUGAAAAGCAUUGUUCCAGGAGUUGUAAACUGCUUGUCCCCUCACGCACAACGCGAAUUUAGUUACUGGUAUAACUCCGGUGCCAACUUUGAGAAUCUCAAGGCAGAACUCCAUAGGCUCAAGGUUGAAAGAGAAAGCAUUCAGCGCAGAGUUUCUGAGGCUGAAAGAAAAGGUGAAAAGAUUGAAGAGAAUGUUGAGAAAUGGCUGGUUAAUGCGAACGAGAGCAUUGAGCAGGCAGCCAAAUUCAUUCAAGACGAAGAGAAAGCAAAUGAUGGCCGAUGUCUCAUGGGGCUGUUUCCUGAUUGGUUUGCUCGCUAUCAUCAUGGAAAGAAAGCAGAAACAGAGAAGGAGGCCCUUUUUAAACUCCGAGAAGAAGCUGGGAGAUUUGAUGAUAGAAUUUCCUACCGUACCGUUCCGGAGGAUAUAUGGCUCAAGUCUCACAAAGGCUACGAGGCCUUCGAAUCAAGACUUUCUACUUUGAAAGCCAUACAAAAUGCAUUGAUCGUUGUUGAUGUCAGCAUCAUUGGGGUCUACGGCAUGGGCGGCAUUGGAAAGACGACACUGGUGCAGGAGGUCGCCAGGCAAGCUAUGGCAGACAAGCUCUUUGAUACGGUGGUCUUUUCAGAGGUUUCGCAAACUCCAGACAUAAAAAAGAUUCAACAGGAAAUUGCCGAGAAGUUGGGCCUGGAGUUGCACGAGGAAGUUGAAUCUAGAAGAGCAAGUAGGCUAUGUGAGCGAUUGAAAAAUGAGAAAAAGAUCCUUGUGAUUCUGGAUAACAUCUGGAAACCUCUUGAUUUGGGGACUAUUGGAAUUCCUUUUGGAGUUGAGCACAGAGGAUGCAAAUUAUUAUUCACAACAAGAGAUCUUGAUGUGCUGUUAAGGACAGAAUCUGAAAAAAACUUCUCGAUUGGCAUUUUAAAUGAACAAGAAGCCUGGAGAUUGUUCAAGAUAAUGGCUGGUGAUUAUGUUGAAAACCGUGAGUUAAAACCUAUAGCAACAAGGGUAGCCAAGGCAUGUGGAGGUUUGCCUAUUGCCCUUAACCACAGUAGCAAAGGCACUGAGAAACAAAGAGCUGCCUGUGUGGAAGAAUGCGUUGCAAGAACUCCAAACGCCUUCAGAGGCAAGCUUCGACGGAGGAGUACCAGCAGAGGCAUACUCAACAAUUGAGCUGAGUUACAAGUACUUAAGAGGUGAGCAACUCAAGAAAACGUUUUUACUGUGUAGUCUUAUUACGCCAGCACCAAUUAUGGAUUUGUUCAAAUACAGCAUGGGCUUGGGUGUAUUUAAAAGUGUCCAUAAACUAAGAGACUCUUGUUUGUUGCUUGAGGAUGGUGGCAGUAAAUACAUUUCUAUGCACGAUGUUGUUCGCGAUGUUGCCAUUUCAAUUGCAUGUCGUGACAAAAUUGGAUUUGUGGUGAGAAAUGAGGAUGUGUGGAACUGGCCAGAUGCAGAUGCACUAAAAAAAUAUCUUGCAAUUUCUUUUAAAGAUAGUAUUGUUAAUGACAUUCCUGAAGGGUCCGAAUCUCUACAACUUCAACUUCUAGUCAUGUCUCCCAAGAACUCUUUUUCUGUGCCUAAUAUUCCUAAGAACUUCUUCAAAAGGACGAAAAAGCUUCGGGUUUUGGAUUUGACUAGAAUGCGGUUAUUGUCAUUGCCAUCUUCAAUUGGUCUUCUAGUAAAUCUUCAGACACUCUGUCUUAAUCAAAGCAUUUUGGGAGGCAUAGACAUAGCCAUUAUUGGAAAGUUGGAAAAUCUAGAAAUCCUCAGCUUUUUGCAAUCUGAUAUUGUAGAGUUGCCUAAAGCACUGGGUCAACUGACUAACCUAAGGCUGUUAGAUUUCACAGACUGUUUCCGUCUGAAAGUUAUUGCCCCAAAUGUCAUAUCAAGCUUAACCCGAUUAGAAGAAUUGUAUAUGGGUAAUUGCUCCAUUGAAUGGGAGGUUGAAAGAGCCAACAGCAAAAGAAGUAAUGCUAGCCUUGAUGAAUUGAUGCAUUUACCUCGGCUAACCACUCUAGAAAUUGACGUUAAAAAUGACAGUAUGUUACCAGAACGUUUUUUGGCCAGAAAGCUUGAAAGGUUCAAAAUACAUAUUGGAAAUGAGUCAUUCACGCAUCCCAUGAGAGUCAGACAAGCUUGGUUUAAAAGUCGGCGACACUUUUAUAUCGACAGUGAUUGCAAGAGUUUAAGAGCAUUGAAGCUCAAGCUUGCUUUUACGGACAUUUGCUCCAUGAAAUUGCAGGGCGUCAAUAGCGUUGAAUACUUAUUGUUGGACAAGCUGCGAGGUAUCAAGAACGUUCUUUUCAAUUUGGACACGGAGGGCUUUUCACAAUUGAAGGUUCUCUGGGUUCAAAAUAAUCCUGACUUCUUUUGCAUCGUCGAUUCAAGGGCGAUGGUCGCUUGUGAUGCCUUUCCUCUUUUGGAGUCACUUGGCCUUCACAAUUUGAUCAACAUGGAGAGGAUAUGUAUUGAUCGGCUCAAAGUAGAGUCCUUCAACGAACUCAAAAAUAUAGAAGUAUAUAAUUGUGAUAAGUUGAGUAAUAUCUUUUGGCUCUCUACUAAAAAAUGCCUUCCAAGACUUGAGAGAAUUGCAGUUGUUAAUUGCAGCAAGAUGAAAGAGAUUUUUGCAAUUGGGGAAGAAGUUGAUAAUGCAAUUGAGAAGAUAGAGUUUGCUCAAUUAAGAUCUUUGAGUCUGGGGAAUCUUCCAGAGGUUACAAGUUUUUGCCGGGAAGUAAAGACUCCUUCAGCAUCACCAAACAGACCAGCGUCGCAAGAGGAAUCGACGACUAUGUAUAGCUCCAGCGAAAUCACUUUGGAUAUUUCAACUCUGCUUUUCAACGAGAAGGUGCGUAGUGUUGCGGACCGCCCAAUUCGCUAGCCCAAUUGCCCACAAUUUCGGGCUAGAGAGCCAACACAAGGCCAAGAGUGCUAGCUUGGCCCAAUUCCGGAAGGUUCUAGGCAACUCUAGCACAUGUGAACAUGUAAAUAUUCUAGAAUACUUUAUACAAUUCCAGCACAUGUAAAUAGCUAGGAAAUUGUAUAAUACUCUAGAGUUUGACCAAGUUUGGCAAAGUUAGGCAAAGUUAGGCAAAGUUAGGCAAAGCCUCCCCUAUAACUAUGGGAUGGCAUUAGGCAUUUGUAUCCAACAAGCAUUGUAAUCUCUCUUUGUGCAAUACAAGUUUCUUUGGCUCAAUUGCUCUCUUCUCUUGUUCGAGAAUCUCUAGGCUUACUUAGCAACAUUCGGCAAAGUUGUCUAAGUGCCGCACGGGUUAGCUGCGCAAAACACUCAUCCCGUGACAAGUGGUAUCAGAGCUAAGGUUUGCACGCACGCAAAUUAGCUCACGAAGCAAUGGCCAACCCUUCGAACGUAGCACAAGAGGGUGUUGUUGGUGUGGAUGUUCCACCGGAACCAAGCCGUGGCCGAGAGGGAGAACGCGCCCAAGGCAAGACUCGCGGCAAGUCCAAGGCCCUAUCCGUGGAUGCGUUGGAGCCUCGUGUAGGCACUCUCGAAAUAGCAUUGUCCGCCGCUCAAGAUAGCCUCGUGGGAUUGGAGGAAAGAGUGGAUGGUCUCGAGGGAGAAUACGCCAAGUUCACGGUGGCCACAAAAGCUCUCAUCCAUGAGCAAGCGAACAUUCUCCGAGGUGAGUUUCGUUCUUUCCAUGAUGAGUUGCUCAAACUUCGUAGUUUUGUUCAGGACGAACUACGUGCUGUCCGUGCGGAAGUGGAUGAAGUCCGCUCGGAUUGGGCAUGGCACAAGCGCACACUCUCCACAAGUCCAGCUUCCGCAAACUCGAGUGAUGCGCGCCGCAUUGACGUGCCAAAGCCCGACACCUACGAUGGCACACGCAAUGCCACCAUCGUGGACAAUUUCCUCUUUGGGCUGGAUCAAUACUUCGAUGCCAUGGGUGUCCGAGAUGAGGCAUCGAAAGUGGGCACUGCACCCACCUAUCUUAGAGGCGCUGCACAACUAUGGUGGCGUCGCAAGCAUGGCGAGAUGGGCAAGGGCAUUUGCGCCAUCAACACUUGGGCCGACUUCAAGCAAGAACUCCGAAAGCAGUUCGCCCCAAGCAAUGCGGAGAAGGAAGCGCGAGUGCGCUUACGUCGCCUCAAGCAAUCGGGUAGCAUUCGGGACUACAUCAACGAGUUCACUACCCUCAUGUUGGAGAUAAGCGACAUGUCCAACAAGGAUUCACUCUUCUACUUCCAAGAUGGCCUCAAGGAUUGGGCCAAGACCGAGCUUGAUAGGCGUGGUAUUCAAACACUUGACGACGCCAUUGCCGUUGCGGAGUCGCUCACCGAAUACUCUACCCAAUCCAAGGACAAAAAGGCCAACCAAGGCAAAGGUGGGGGAGAGAGUCGCAAGGACAAGGGCAACAACCGCAAAGAUUGGGGGCAGAAAAAGCCGCCUAGCAACAAGAGUUGGCAAGGAAAAUUGGAGGGCAAGAAGGAGGCGCCAAAGCCGCGAAGCCCAUGCUUCAUAUGCAAUGGUCCUCAUUGGGUACGCGACUGUCCGGAGAAGAGGUUGCUUAAUGCUCUUGCUGCCCAACUCAAGAGCAACCCCACAAUGUCCACGGAGGAACCCCAACUCAGCAUGGGUUCUCUCCAACGCCUCGGCGCCCUCAAUCGCCAACAGCCCGCACUCGUCAAGAAAGGGCUCAUGUAUGUAAGCGCAAAGGUAAACGGUCAGUCCGUUCGCGCGCUGCUAGACACGGGAGCAACACACAAUUUCGUGUCCGUAGACGAGGCCAAGCGCUUAGGCCUCAAGGCCACCAAGGAAGGAGGCACAAUGAAGGCUGUGAACUCACCCGCCAAGCCAAUUGCGGGAAUCGCACAAGGCGUGCACAUCACACUUGGUACGUGGAGCGGAAAGCUUGACUUCUCCAUCGUGCCCAUGGACGACUUCAAGAUGGUCCUCGGCAUGGAAUUCUUCGACCAAGUCCAUGCCUUCCCACUGCCCGCUACAAACUCCCUAAGCAUCCUCGACGGGAGUAAAGCAUGCAUGGUACCCACGGAGCGAGGCAAGUCCGAGGAGAAGACACUCUCCGCCAUGCAAUUCAAAAGGGCUUUCAAGAAGGACCCAAGCUUCUUGGUCUCCAUUCGGGAACUAAAUGAGGAAGGAAAUAGCGGAACGUCGCCAAGCCAAGUCCCUCCACAAAUUCAAGCCGUCCUCGAAGAUUACAAGGAUGUGAUGCCUCCAGAACUUCCAAAGAAGCUCCCACCUCCGCGAGAGGUAGAUCAUGCGAUUGAGCUAGAACAAGGCGCGAAGCCACCAGCCUUGGCACCCUACCGCAUGGCGCCACCCGAAUUAGAGGAGUUGCGGAGACAACUCAAAGACUUGCUGGAUGCCGGCUACAUUCGCCCCUCAAAGGCCCCAUUCGGUGCACCGGUCCUCUUCCAAAAGAAAAAUGAUGGAUCGCUGCGGAUGUGCAUCAACUAUAGAGCGCUCAACAAGAUCACCAUCAAGAACAAGUAUCCGAUUCCAUUGAUUGCGGACUUGUUCGACCAGCUUGGCAAAGCGCGGUACUUCACCAAACUUGACUUGCGCUCCGGGUACUACCAAGUGCGCAUCGCCAAGGGAGACGAACCGAAGACAGCGUGCACAACAAGGUACGGGUCUUUCGAAUUCCUUGUGAUGCCUUUUGGCCUUACUAAUGCACCCGCCACAUUUUGCACACUCAUGAACAAGGUACUCCAACCAUUCCUCGACCGCUUCGUGGUCGUGUACUUGGACGACAUUGUGGUGUAUAGCACCACACUCGAGGAUCAUGCCCAACACUUGCAACAAGUCCUCCAAGUACUUCGAGACAAUGAGCUCUUCCUCAAACUAGAGAAGUGCUCGUUUGCCCAACAAGAGGUGGAGUUCCUUGGCCACAAGAUUGCGGGCGGGAAGAUCAUGAUGGAAAAUGACAAAGUAAAGGCCAUCCUCGAUUGGGAGCCUCCCUCGAAAGUACCCGAGCUUCGCUCAUUCCUUGGGCUGGUGAAUUACUACCGCCGCUUCAUUAAGGGCUAUUCAGCCAAGGCGGCACCCUUGACGGAUAUGCUCAAGAAAAACAGAACGUGGCAUUGGUCCGAAGAGUGCUAACGUGCAUUCGAGGAGUUGAAGGCAAUUUCGGAGGAACCAGUCCUCGCUCUUCCGGACCACACCAAGCCCUUCGAAGUUCAAACGGAUGCCUCGGAUUUCGCCAUAGGUGGAGUCCUUAUGCAAGAAGGCCACCCAAUAGCGUUCGAGAGUCGAAAGCUAAAUGACACGGAACGCCGCUACACGGUGCAAGAAAAGGAGAUGACAGCCAUCAUCCAUUGUCUAAGAGUGUGGCGACAUUACUUGCUUGGCUCACACUUCACGAUCAUGACGGACAACGUGGCGACAAGCUACUUUCAAACUCAAAAGAAGUUGAGUCCGAAGCAAGCACGGUGGCAAGAUUUCCUUGCGGAAUUCGACUAUCGGCUAGAGUACAAACCGGGGAAAGCCAAUGUUGUUGCGGACGCUCUAAGCCGCAAGGCGGAAUUGGCAACACUUAGCAUGAGCCAACCGAAGUCCGACCUUGUCUCACGCAUCAAGGAAGGCCUCCAACAAGAUCCGCUAGCAAAGGAUUUGCUGGAGAAGGUGCUCGAGGGAAAGACAAGGCGGUUUUGGCAAGAGGAAGGCAUCCUCCUCACCAAGGGAGAUCGGCUGUUCGUGCCAAGGUGGGGAAACUUGCGGAAGGAAGUAAUCAAGGAGUGCCACGACUCUAAGUGGGCUGGUCACCCAGGAAUCGAGCGCACCACCGCACUAGUUCAAGCCUCGUAUUUUUGGCCGCACAUGAGGGACGACAUUGAGGCAUAUGUGCGAACUUGUCUUGUGUGCCAACAAGACAAAGUGGAUCAUCAACUUCCAGCGGGAUUGUUGGAGCCGCUACCACUAGCAACAAGGCCAUGGGAAAGUGUCUCCAUGGACUUCAUCACAUCGCUGCCCAAGUCCGAAGGUUGCGGAAGUAUCAUGGUCAUUGUCGACCGAUACAGCAAGUACGCCACAUUCAUUGCUGCACCAGUCGAUUGCAAAGCGGACGAGGCAGCCCGCCUAUUUGUCAAGCACAUUGUGAAGCUUUGGGGAGUACCGAAGAGCAUUGUGAGCGACCGAGACCCUCGGUUCACUGGACGCUUUUGGACGGAACUCUUCAAAAUGUUGGGGACCGAUCUCAAGUUCUCGACAAGCUUCCACCCACAAACGGAUGGGCAGACCGAGCGCAUUAAUGGCCUCCUCGAGAUGUACCUGAGGCAUUAUGUGAGCGCUCACCAGCGGGAUUGGGCGAAGCUACUCGACAUCGCCCAAUUUUCUUAUAACUUGCAGCGAAGUGAGGCUACGGGCAAGAGUCCGUUCGAGAUCAUCAUGGGAUUCCAGCCCAUGACCCCCAAUGCCAUAGCCUCGACUUACGGAGGGAAAAGCCCCGCGGUACACAAGCUCGCCCGCGAACGGCAUGAGGAAGCGGACAUCACACGAGCCUACCUCGACAAAGCCGCGAGGAAGAUGAAGAAAUGGACGGAUACAAGGAGACGACAUGUUGAGUACAAGGAAGGUGAUCAAGUCAUGAUCAAGCUCCUACCCCAACAAUUCAAGACUUUGCGGAAAGUUCACAAGGGGUUAGUGAGGCGCUACGAGGGACCCUUCCGAGUUGUUCGACGUGUGGGCAACGUCUCGUAUCAACUCCAACUUCCGCCAAGACUCAAGAUCCAUCCGGUCUUCCAUGUGAGCCUUCUCAAGCCAUAUCACGAAGACAUGGGAGAACCAAGUCGCGGAGAAUCGAGGCGCGCGCCAACUGCCGUUGUCACCGCGUUCGACAAAGAUGUGGACUACAUCAUUGCGGACCGAACGGUUUCGAGGAGGGGCGUGCCAGCACAUAGCGAGUACUUGGUGAAGUGGAAAAACCUCCCCGAGAGCGAAGCCACUUAUCGCUGAGCACAUCCAGCACUUCAAGCACGAGACCGCGACGAGGACGCCACGAGCUUAGGUGGGGGAGGAUGUUGCGGACCGCCCAAUUCGCUAGCCCAAUUGCCCACAAUUUCGGGCUAGAGAGCCAACACAAGGCCAAGAGUGCUAGCUUGGCCCAAUUCCGGAAGGUUCUAGGCAACUCUAGCACAUGUGAACAUGUAAAUAUUCUAGAAUACUUUAUACAAUUCCAGCACAUGUAAAUAGCUAGGAAAUUGUAUAAUACUCUAGAGUUUGACCAAGUUUGGCAAAGUUAGGCAAAGCCUCCCCUAUAAAUAUGGGAUGGCAUUAGGCAUUUGUAUCCAACAAGCAUUGUAAUCUCUCUUUGUGCAAUACAAGUUUCUUUGGCUCAAUUGCUCUCUUCUCUUGUUCGAGAAUCUCUAGGCUUACUUAGCAACAUUCGGCAAAGUUGUCUAAGUGCCGCACGGGUUAGCUGCGCAAAACACUCAUCCCGUGACAGUAGGCUAACAUUUUCUUUAUUCUAUCAUGCGUUCUGUUUUGAUGUCAUACGUGGAAAAUAAUUAAAUCAUUUAAAGAAUUGAAAGAAAAUGAAAAAAAAAGGAUAAAAAGAAUCUCACGCGCUCACUAAUUGAGCUCUUAACAAGUAGUAUGAAUUAGAAUGCGUACUCAGCUGUCAGUUGGAAAUUGAUUCAGACUUGUAUUAAUUUGUAAUCAAAGAAGAAAAUUUCAACAAGUGCUUCCCAUAUGGAUAUUGGAUCUAACGAGAAAUUCUUAUUUUUUUAGGUUGCGUUGCCUAACUUGGAGGCUUUGGAGAUAUCUGCAAUUAAUGUCGACAAGAUUUGGCACUACAAUCAUCUUCCGGCGGCCGUGUUUCCUCACUUUCAAAGUUUAACACGAUUGAUUGUGUGGCGUUGUCACAAAUUAAAAUACAUAUUUUCAGCGUCUAUGAUCAGAAGCCUUAAGCAGCUCCAACACCUACGUAUACACUACUGUAAGAAUUUACAGGAGAUCAUUUCUGAAAACAGAACAGAUGAAGUGAUCCCUCAUUUUGUCUUUCCACAGCUCACCACUCUGAGACUCGAAGGUCUACCAAAACUUAGAUGUUUGUACCCUGGAAAGCAUACUUCGGAAUGGCCCGCACUAGAAAUUCUUGUAGUGUAUCGUUGUGACAAAUUAAAGAUAUUCGCUGCAGAUUUAUCGCAGAAUAAUGAGAAUGAUCAACUUGGCAUUCCUGCACAACGGCCCCCAUUGCCAUUGGAAAAGGUAUGAAGCCAAGUUCUAGAUUUUUUAUCAAUAGCUUAUUUUUAACUUCGAAAAAUAUGACAAAGCAUCGAUAAAUUAAUACUCAAUAAAUUGAAAACUUUUAUUAUACAAUAAUCUUUGCUAGUCUAGAUUAAGAGAUCAAUGUGGUAGAUUAAUAAUUAUAUGAACUUUUUUUGGUAUAGCAUUUGUAAAAGAAUCUUGAGUCUUUCCAUAUAGAAGAACUUACAAAAUAAAUUAGUAAUUUAUUAUUGUGCAAUAAAAUAAUUUCGAGUCAGUAUAAAUCAACCUUUUUUCCCUAAUUUCUUUUUUACCUCUAAAAUUAACAUAUAAAAAAUCAUUUAAUAAAUUUUAUCAAUAAUUCAAUUUUUUUUUUAAAAAUAUAAUAUAAAACAAAUACUAUAAAGUCACUGCGUGUCAUUGGAUUACUCAAAAUCAUUUGAGAGAUCAUCAAUUGACCUUAUCAGUUAUUAUGAUUGACGAUGAUCAGAUCUUACCCAACUUGAUGGAACUAUCACUAAGUGGAAAAGACGUGGAGAUGAUUUUGCAGGCCGAUUUCCCACAACACCUUUUUGGCAGUCUUAGAGAACUAGAGAUUGCUGCAGAUGACUCAGCUUGUUUUCCAAUCUGGAACGUACUGGAGAGAUUUCACAAUCUCGAAAUACUCACACUGUGUGAUUUUUCAUCCCACGAAGAGCUAUUUUCGAUGGAAGGAUGCUUAGAGAAACAUGUGGGGAAGUUGGCAAUGAUAAAAGAAUUAGAGCUGUACCGGCACUAUCAUCUGAAGCAGCUGUGCAAACAAGACUCCAAACUUGGCCCCAUUUUUCAGUAUCUUGAAAUUCUAAGAGUAUAUCAUUGUCAAAGUCUGUUAAUUCUAUUGCCAUCAUCAUCGGUAUCUUUUGGGAACCUAACAAAACUUGUAGCUUUCGGUUGCAAGGGAUUGAUACACUUGGUAACAUCCUGCACAGCAAAAACUCUAGUGCAACUCGUCACGGUGCGUAUACAAGGAUGCAGAGCAAUGACAGAGGUGGUAAUAAAUGACAAAGAAGGAGUUGAAAAAGAAGAGAUUGUUUUCAGCAAAUUGAAGGCGUUGAUUCUGUGUGAUUUAGAAAGUCUCACAAGUUUCUGCUCUGCCAAUUACACCUUCAGAUUCCCAUCUUUGGAAUAUCUGGAAGUGAUUGGUUGUCCCAAGAUGAAGAUUUUCACUACAGGAGAAUCAAUCACGCCUCCGAGAGUAGACGUCCAGUAUGGAGAGACAUCGAAUCAACGGCGUUGGGCUAAUAAUGAUCUAAACACAACCAUACAACAAUUACAUGCUGAGAAGGUACGGAUAUACAUAUUACUCUCUAUCUCCCAUGAUAAAUUUUUACAAAAUUUGCUUUUUCUUUUUAAAUAAAAUAUAGAUAAAAUGUUUGUUAUAAAGUAAAAGUUUAAAUUGAUGAAUAAGAAUUUUAUUUUCAGCUGUUGGCGGGGUCGUCGAUAUACUCUACGCAGUACGACUAAUUUCAUAGGCUUCUUAUGACUUGGAGUUGCGAAUUUUAUUUAAUUUAUUUAAUCCCAUGGCUUGUUUCGCAAUUUCAUCUUAAUUAUUUAGAAUAGGUCCCUCGGUUUACUGUUAAACUAGGAAAUAGAACCGCGCUUCGCGCGGCUUUAAAAAUAUCAAAUUAAAAAUAAAAAAUUUGAUGAAAUUCAAAUUUCUUAAGAUAACCUUCUGAUCUCUUCUCAAAAGGAAGAUUAAACAAGUUAAUUUUGUAUGUUUAUUUCAAUAAUAAUAACGAUCGCACAUAAUAAUAAUAAUAAUAAAAAUAAUAAUAAUAAUAAUAAUUGGCACCUGACGACGUUGAGGCUCAUGAGCAUUCCACAAAAUAUAAGUUUCAAUUGCAUCGAGCCCUCCAUCCUUUGCCUUCUGUAUAAGAUCUGGCCACAUCUGCACAAAUAUAACGCAUAUAGAAAUAAAUCAUAUCAAAUUUUACAUAUUUUAAGAAUAAUAAUGCUGUUGGAUCCAAAAAUAUUGCCCAUAAUUUUUCCUAAACAUGAAAGCGCACCGUUUUGAAUGUGGGAUCAUGUUUGGCUUGUUAGGAAAAAAAAUUAAGAUAAUAUUUUUGCAACAAAGUAGCUUUUUUUUUUUUGGUUAAAAGAAGAAGAAAAUGUGAAAGUGCAAGUGAUUUGAGAAAUUGUAAAUUAAUUAUUUGCAUACAGUACUUGUGGACUACUGCGAAAAUAUAAUGAAUUGCACCAGAGAAGAUAACUCGUCGUUCUCCAUUAAUUAUAAUGGUAGUUGCAUCAUAAUCGACUUGUGUUGCUGAUGAUGACAAGCAACUUAAAUUUAGAAUAAGAAGAAUUAUGCCUUAGUGGCAUUGUUGAGGGAAGAUGAAAGAACCUCUCUUCCUAUGUUAAUUAAUUAAUGUAUUUUAAGCCGCUAAAGUUUAAUUGCUAGUAUAAUAAAAUUUGAAGAAGCCAAAAGACACUAAAUAAAAGGUUGCAUAAUUAAAUAUGAGAUUAUGGCAUUAAAAUUAGGCCCUUAUGACAUUGUUGAAGGAAGAUGAAAGAGCCUCUCUUCAUAUGUUAAUUAAUUGAUGUAUUUUAAGCUACUAAAGUUUAAUUGCUAGCAUAAUAAAAUAAAUGAAUGUUUCAAAAGAUUUAUUAUUAAUUAUUAUUCAUGAUUAUAUAUUGUUGGAUUUCAAUAGAAAGAGGAAGAGACAUGAAAAUUAAACUUAGGCCCUAGCUGCAUUAUUGAGGGAAGAUGAAAGAACCCCUCUUCCUAUGUUAAUUAAUUGAUGUAUUUUAAGCAACUAAAGUUUAAUUGCUAGCAUAAUAAAAUAAAUGAAUAUUUCAAAAGACUUAUAAUUAAUUGUUAUUAAUGGUUACAUAUUGUUGGAUUUAAAUAGAAAGAGGAAGAAAUAAUGAUGCCACAAAUCUUAAAUAUUUAAUGUUUAUAGAGUUUGAAGAAGCCAAAAGGCACUAAACAAAAUAUUGAAUAAUUAAAUAUGGGAUCAUGACAUUAAAAUUGGGCUCUAAUGGCAUUGUUGACAUUAAAAUUGGACUUAUAAUUAAUUAUUAUUAAUGAUUACAUAUUGUUGAAUUUAAAUAGAAAGAGAAAAAAAGUACAAAGAAUAUUCACCAAUAUUUUAGAUAUUUUAGAUAAUAGAAAAUAUAAAAAGAUGAGGAAUGAUAUAUAUUAAUAAAGUUACUAUUUAUUAAAUGAGUUAAAUACAAUCAAAUUAAUUAUGAGAAGAUGAAAAGCUAAAUCUAAAAAAAAUUCUCUAUUUAUUAGAUAAUAGAGAAUAUACAAAGAAGCAAAAUGGUGAUGCCACAUCACCUCCUCAAGUCCUAGCUUUAUAUAGAUAUAUAGAUAUAUAGAUAGAUAGAUAUAGAUUUGCAAUGCAAUUUUAAUGAUCCCUUCAGACUUUUAUGGACAGAUUUUGCAUAAUUGAAUGUCUUUUUAGUCUAGUUUAAUUUGAGUCUUUUUCUUCUUCUUUUUUUUUUUUUUUUGGGAGCUCCCCUCGUCUUCUAAAAUUUUAUAACUCCUUGCAUACGUUUUUAUGAUAAAAUUUCAUUAAAAGCCUUCGUAUUUUAUAAUUCGUUGAAAACAUGCAUACUUUUUCCAUUCUUUCUUUGCCAAUUAUUUAUUCUCAUCAUUGCUGUUCUUUUAUUUUAGUUUGUGUUCUGUUUGUUCAUUGGGUUUGCUUUUCUUCACGCCUAUAUUUCCUUGGAAAGUUAGAAGGCAAGGAAAGUACUUAGAAAAUGUUCUUGUUCUUCCCUAUGAACACAUAAUUAAAGAACAGCUGAAUAUCAUUCAUCGGACUAAAAAAAUUUAAAAAAAAAAACGUAAUCAGUGCAUUGUUCCUAUAACAAAUGCUUAAACCAUCAAAUGUUAGCUAUGAACAAGUAUAUUGUGGAAAUAUUGUUUGAAAAUAUUUCAUAAAAAAUCAAGUUUUCACAAACCAAAAAGGGACUAAUUUGGUCUAGCAUAUUCAUAAUAUUUUCUCCACUGUUCCUGUUAAAAUUUCUCUACUCUAUGAUUGCAGAAUGUUUGGAUACUGAUGACGAUUUAAGUCACUCUUCUUCUGUGCGCAAUUUGAAAUAAGGUCGUUUUUCUUUUUUCCUCUAUUCAAAGUUUACAUUCUGAGGGGUUCCCGUUUCCAUCUUCGUGAUCUUCUUGUGAUUCACUGCAUCGUGUCGCUACAUCUGUGAUAGUGUGAGUUGCAACCUGUCUGUUUUCUUUGUUUGAUCAUUGUAUGUAUUAAAAAAGUUUACAUUUCAUUCUAGAUAAGCUCUUUGUAUGUAUUAAAAAAAUUUUAUUCUCAAUAUAUAUGACUCAAUGAGAGGUCUUUUAUUAUAUAUAUGUCAUGAAUUUCUAUUGUAUUUUGAGAUUUGAUGGUGUAUUAUUGUCUCAUUGCAAGGUCUUGUAAUCACUCUGAUUCUCAUUUGAGGAGGUUGGUCUCGUCUAUGUGUAUGUAUUUAUAUCCACAAGAAAUUUGAUAAAUGGUCUUGUCGUUUUCUCAUUAAAACAUCUAGUGCUUCAUGGGUUGGAGGGCUACUAGGCAUCAGGGCCAGAUCUUUAAACUCAAAGUUCUUCGUGUCAUUUACCCAUUUGAUUAUCAAAUAGUCAUAAAAGCAUAUAAAUUCAAGUUAGUGUAUCAUUUUUACACAAUAUACUAAAACUAACACAAGAACUUGGCCGACAUUUUCAGUUGAAUAACUCAGACCCCCGAACUUCCUCGGGCUGACAUCCCAAAGUGAAAAUGUCUAAAAAAAUAGUUGCAACAUUUACCCAUUUGAUUAUGAUUCAAAAAAAAACACAAACGGAGAAAUUAUUGGGAUUGUUAAGAUAGUUAAAAUGGUUAGUUAUUGUUUCAGUUUGUUAAGCAAGAUAGGUAGAGUUACUGACGUGUUAGCUGAGCUGGCAUAAGUUAUUCAACUCUCAGGUGCUUAGAAACCUUGUAUAAAUACAUUUGUAAUCAGCUAAAGAAUGGAUGAUUCAGAUUUAUUCAUCAAAUCCAGCUCUUAGAUGAUCUCUGUUCUUUCUUUCAUUUUCUCUCAUUUUCUUACUUAUCAAACAGAUUAGAAACUUUAACUUGGUAUCAGAGCCUGAAAGGUUUGGUAGUUGUUCUGUUUUAUCUUCAGUUUCAUUUUGUGAUCACAGAAACGUUAGGACUUGCUUGCAUGAACGCACAUUAAACCACGGAAAUUUUGUCAGACAUGCACGCAAAUGAAAUUUUAUCAGCAGUCUUGUAAUUUUCUAUUUUUGUUGUUGUCGUCAUUUUUUUACUACUAGUACUGUUUGAAAUUCUAGUAUUUUGGAUGUGAAAUUUAUUAUAUUAUGAUAGGUCCCAGUCAGAAUUAGCGGAAACAACAAGUAAAUAAUUUGUUCUUCUUAGGGUAAGAACUACCGCAAUUGCUAAUUGAAUUAGAUAAAAGUCUGAUAUCUUUUUAUUGAAUUAUUCGAGUCUAUUUAUAGAACAAAAUUAAUGAAAUAAAGUAGUUAAAAUCAAUUAAACCACUUAGCUAUAAUUUCGAAGUAAAUAAUAAUCUUAAAGGAAUCAUGAUUAAAUCUGAAUUCUUCAUCAAUACGGCUUGACUUAGUAAGCUUUCCGUUGAUUUUGUGAAGAGUCCUUGAAGGAACGUGAUGCCCACCUCAUGCAUGGCUUGCAUGUUACUUGCAUGUGCCCAUACAUUUUCGUUAUUGGCUUGCAUGGUUGCUUGCAUGUGCCCAUGCAUAUUCGUCAUAUUUGUUGUUGGGUUUUGCUUCUCACUUGGACUUGCGUAUACUCUUAUCAUAUUAGAUAUUCGACAUAUAUAUGAUGCUGAAUACAGGGUAUGUGUUGUCUAAAUUUAUUUUAUUUUGUUUGCUUCACAUCCAAUUUUCAAAAGCUUUGAAGAAUGCUAAGAGAAGGAGCAAAGGGCUAAAGAGUCAAAUGUAACAUUGCUAUUAAUUUGUUAAUUGCCAUCAUUUUUAAUUUUUGCCCUGCUUGUUCUGUUUACUCAUUUAUUUCACUUGGUUUUGCUCCACGUCUAUCUUUCCUAACUUAGGAAGGCAAGGAUUUUGAAAGUUCUGAAGAAGAUUCAGGUCACUCGUGUGAAUAAGAGCUGUGUUACUGUUUAAAAGUUUUCAUGCUCUGGAAUAAAAUUUGCUUUACUGUGUUACUGGUCAACUUCAUUAUUCUACUAAUGCUUUACUUCAUCUUCAUUGUAUCACUACAUUGACAGCGUUGACAGUGUAAGAGUCGUUUUCACGAUUUUUAAGAAAUUUUGAUCACAUUAAACUUUUGAUCUGAGUUCAUAACAAAAAUCAAAACGGCGCAUGACAUCAAGAUUAUGAUGAAUCAAAUUGAACUCCCAAUACGUUAGUUCAUAAAAAAUGCUUUUCUUCUUCCAAGUAAUCUUAUCAUUUCUUUCAUUUUAUUCAUUCUCCUCUUUUCUCCUCUUUUCAAGUCUUCAAUCUUAUACUCAGUAAGUACAUUACUGAACUGCUUUUUCACCUCAGCUCCAGACAACCGAGAAGGUGCUUGUCCGGUUGUCCCCACUCUCUAGUUUUAUCAGAUGGCACUAUAUUUUCGGAACCUAUGAUUUGUUGGUAAAAAUCGACGGUGACCCACGUGACAAUUUUCUACUAUGUAUCAACCAAUUAGAUCUAGUGUUUUGUUGGCAAACAAGAAAUGCUUAUUUACCUUUAAUACUCCACCCAAACAAGUUGGCAUAUGCUAGAAAGUCGGAGAUAGUCCAUAACAAUGCUGCGUGUGACUUGAACAUUUGAUUAUGUGAUGCAUUAUGCAUCAUUCCAACCAUACUAGCAUCACUACCCGAGUCAUGACUAACCUGUUUCUUAGUUAGAUUUCAAAGAUGAAGAUGGCUCACCCUCCAAUAUCCAGUUUUAAUACUUUAACCAAUAGCCAUUUAUAAUGAUAUGGUCUCUUGCCACUUUCCUUAUAAGGAAAUAUCGAUAUUACGACACUUCUUAGAAGGACAAUAAAUUCUUUUAUCACCAACAACAUUCUCAAAUGCAAAAUCUAUAAAUUUUUUGACCCAUCAGUAUAUGAAUUGGAUAUCUAUUUGGCAAACCAACCCAACUCUGGUCCAUGACUAUGUCCUUUUAAUGCACUAGAAAAAUUAGUUAAAUAAAUCACUUUAAUUCUUCAUUUCUACUACUAAACAAGAUAUUUUCAUGUGUGCGCAGUUUCGCAAUAUAAUAAAAAAAAUUAUUAUACAAUUUUAUGGUUAAUCUCAUUAGAACGUUUAUAUAUAUGGAAGCAAGCAAAGCCACAAGAAUCAGAGAAAAAGAUGUGAAAAUUAAAGUAUAUAUACAACAAUAAUUAAUCUAAAAAACAGUUUGCAAUACCUUCUGUAAAGAAAUAUCCUCACCCACUGCUGAGAACUUCACUUGGCUAUCAAUUACAGAUAUAUAAAGCCUGUUACCUAGAAACAAAAAAUUAGGUCAGCCAGCUAAAACAUAUUUAUAAACCAACAUUGGAGAUAGUACUCCAUUUAUAAACAAAAUUACAAGACUCAAAACCAAGUCGACUCAGCAAAAUCAUAACCGAUUACAUUCAUCCCACUCAGCUCCUCCACUCCCAUCAAUAUAUCCAACAUUCCCUUCAUAUUUACAAAAGGUAAGUGGUCCUAUAUAUCCCACUCAAGAAUGCAUAAGUUUCUUCAAUCUUAAGUAUCUAAAGUUUUCCUCUACGUUUAUAGAAACUUCGGAAGCAUCUCCCUAUAGUUCUUCAAGUACACGACAUAGAUAUAUGAAUGUUUAUGUGUUAUGCCAAAACAACACAUGACACCCAUUUGUCUAGUAUGCACCCAGAGAACAUGAGGAGCAGCUGCUGAAAAACCCAUUUUUACGUGGGAAAAAAAUUUCAGGCACUAGCUGCCAUAGAAAUCUAUGCAUUACCAAACUGUCCAAGCCUAGAUAUUUCAAGAAUUAUUAAUAGACAUAAGAUCCUCACUAUCAUCCAAAAGAUGACACUAAUAAAACAUGUGUCUAUUAAUAAUUUCUUAAAGGAGUUUAAGCUUUCAAUGCAUGUAUCAAAAGUUUAAAAUUGAAUCUGAAACUUGAAUAACACAUAAAAAUCAUAAAUCUCUUCAAUUUAUUCCUAAUAAAAUGUAGCAUUUUUUCACAUUUCAUUUCUUAAGCAAAACCAUAAAAAAUUACAAACAAUAAAUACAUUUUCUAGCACUGAUGCACAUUAUGUUUACUGAGCAAUAAGUUUUAAGUCAUUCAUAUUAAAAUACUUCUUCCUAUUCUAUCAACAAAUAACUAGUACGUACACACAAUUAAUAAAUUAAAUGUAACCUGGUUGUGAAUCUUGCAAAGUCUUCCUAUUUUUUUUUUUUUUUUUUGGUGGGGGGGGGGGGGGAGGGGGGAGGGGGUGGUUAUGCUCAUUUGUGUGUUGUUAACAGAAAUUGAUCCAAAGCCUCAGUUUUAAUUAGCUUCAUUAUAGCCAAUGAUUAGGUGUUUAAAAACCAAUGAAUAUUUUUUAUAAGAAAUCAACAAUAUUGUUGAAAGAAAAACCAAAUAAAAAUAAUAAAGCAAUGCAUAGAUUAAGGCUCUUUAUUAUCUAAUAACUAAUCAAACUAAGUUGUGGGUAAAGGAGAAUAUGUUUGUUUGGCCAAUAAUAAACUCAAGGAAUCACCAAUAAUCACCUAGUUACUAUUCCUUAUGCCAUGCAAUGUAAUGGCGUCGGUAAUGGCGACAAGGCAGGCAAUAACUAGCUAGCUAGUUAUGAUAGUUGCUUAACUUAACCUACUGGAAAUCUGAAGACCAAAAUGAAGAAACUUUGCCUAGAACUAGAAUAGGAAAACAUUCAUACCCAAAACCAAUAUACAUGAUUAAGAAACUUGAUUAUAUGUAUAUUUUUGUUUGCCACACCAAAUCCCACUAUUUCCAUACUCAUAAGCACAAAAAACCAUCGCAAAAAUGAAUGACCAUAUAAAAUAAAAUAGGUCGCAGGACAUUGAGAAUAGGACAAUAUGAUUUAUGUACUGUAAAAUAACUAUAUCUGCAGUCAACUAUAUUUCUGUUAGAACUCUAAAGUUUUCCAUUAAAUUUUUUUCCCUGUUAGGUAAACCACUUAACUGAAACACUUAAGCAAGAUUGACAAUCAUAGACAUAAAAGUAUUAAUAGGCUCAUUCAAGUGAAAUGAGCAUUAUUUCACAUAUCCUUUAGGCUUUUAAGUCAUUUAGAAGUCAUUCAUGUUAAACAAUUUCUUCAUAUACUUUCAAUAUAAUUAGUACAUACACAAUUAAUUAAUUAAAUAAAUCUGUUUCAGCUAGCACAGGAACUUAAGCAAUCAGAGCUAUUAGUUAUAGCUAGGACUUGAAUGAGGCACCUUUCAAAGUUCAAGAGGAGCAUCUGAACAGAAUGAAAGCAGUUUGUAGAAAUGGUAGUGAUGCUUUACAUCUACAUGCUCUUACACAAUAUGAACUUUCAUUUAUUCAAGAACAUAACACUAAUCCAAGCUCUUACUCUACAAGUCAAUUCAGUUUGUAGAUGCAAGCCAUUGUAAAAACUUUUGUGUUAUAAUUUCCGUAAAUGGAACAUGACAUUACUAAUAUAGAAUCAGCAAUGUUAUAUAACUUAUCAGACAAUAUAACAAGCACUUGGCGAGCAUAUAAGAUAAACUAAAACAAGUUAAUUAGAAAAUGAAACUAAAACCCAAGCUCCGCUAUUCAUUGUAGAAGCUUUAAACAUAAAAUUAAACUAAAUCUAAUGCCAAAACAUUAGAAUGGAUGUUGGAAUUAAAGCUAAAUUCAAUAGUAAUCCAAAUGAAUCCAUUUGAACUUUGUAAACUCCGCAGAACAAAAUUAAUUUGAGUGAGCAAACUCACCAAUGGCACAAGAACAGAAGGGCUUCAACUUCUAGGAACAAAAAACAUUGCCGGUGGGACAAAAAUUGACAUUAAUGGCUACAAUACGAAUUAAAGAGAUCAAAACCUAUAAUUACAAGCUAAGAAAGAGAGGAAACUCAUAAUCACAAGCUUACCUGAAACGAAGAGAGAGAAUAAGAUGAAGAAGAAGAUCGCUGCCGUUUUACGCCAUUCUCCGGCUACCAGUAAGGUUUAGGAUGCUGGCCAGGCACGAGAGAGAAUUUGGGACUUUGGUCUUCAAAAUAUUGACUCCAGCAAAUAGUUUUCUAUUUAGAAACAAAUUUAUAACUCUACCGUCACUCUCUACCGUCACGUGGUUAGUAACAUAAGUGAGAGCAGUCUAGCCGUCACAUAAACGGUCACAAAAGCAACUGGCUGUUACAAGUUUAGGAAUGGCAGAUAUUGCCGCGGGGACAUGACCCUCGAGAUUUUCCCAAUUCAGGUGGGUACAUAAUUUUUUACUUAAUUUUUUAUUUGAAAAGGAGACGGAGAUAGUUUUUUUACCUAAUUUCUUAUUCAGAGAAAGAAUGGGGGAUCGGCAGAAUCCCUAUUCUCUUCUAAUUUUUUGAUUUAAUUUUAUUUUUUAAAAUUAUUUGUAAAUAAAUAAUAAAAUAUAAAUAAUAAAAUAUUAAAUAUUAGUAUAAAUAAAAAAAUAAAAUAAUUAUAUUAUUAAAAUUUAGGCCUAAUUGACUACAUUAAUAUUUGGAUGAGAAAGUUAUGCUUAGGAUGAAAGAUUUUAAUAUUUUGAGUUGGUGUAAAAUAAAUGUCUAUAGAUAUCCUAUACUGGCAUGAAUUGCUAGAGAUAUUUUGGCAAUUCUAAUUACAAAUGUUGCUUCUGAAUUAGCUUUUAGCACCAGUGGUAGAGUACCGUAACACGCUUUAUUCAAGCACAUUGGAGGCUUUAAUAUGUUGUCAAAGUUGACUACAAGCUUACAAUGACAGUAUGAGUUUAUUUUACAUUGUAAUUAUAUUAUAUAAUUAUUAAUAUUUUCACUUAGAAUUUACAUUACUUAUAUUAUUUUUGUUGUUUUAAAUUUGAAAUCUGAGGCUAUCUCUCAAUUUGUCACAUUCCUCGAGGAAGAACAAGAAGAGUAGGAGACACAAGAGGUAAAUACUUUUAUUAGAAAUAUUGAUUAAGUAUCUAUAUUCAUUUCAUUUAUCUCAUUGUUGAUAUAAAAGUAAUUUCUUUUUUUUUAUUAUAUGAUUUUGAAGAUUGCCGAAGAUAAUUAUUAUGGUGAUUUAUACUUUGUAAUGUGACUUUUGUAAUAGAUUAAUGUUAAUGUAAGAUAUAUCGUCAAACUUUAUUUUUAUUUUUAUUUUUUAUUUUAAUAUGAUUAAAUUAAAAUUUAAAACUAAAAACGUAUCAGUUAUUCGAGAAUCGAGGACCUUUAAGGAUCCCCUAUUAUUAUUUGGGGAGGGGAGGGGGAUUCCCUAAAGCAAUUUUGUGAAUGGGAAGAGGCCAGGGAUAUAUACAGAAUAUCGAGAAUGGGUACGGGGAGGUCGGUCUCUUCCCCUCCCCUUCCCAUUGCCAUUCCUAACAAAGUUGGCAAUACAUGUACGGGCCGCUUUUGUAAAAUUGCUUUAAGGGUCGUUUGGGAUUGCUUUUGGGAAUAGCAUGCAAGAUAUAUAUAAAAAAUAAAAUCGUAGAAUAACUUUUACCUCUAAUUCGAUUUUUUCUUCUUUUUUGUAAAUUAUUAUGCAUUUAUAUUAAAGUCACUGUGUAUGAUUGGAUUAUUAAAAGUUAUUUGAGAGAAUAUGAAUUGACUUAAUAAGUUAUUACGUGAUUGAUGAUGAUCAGAGCUUACCCAACUGGCAUUAAGUGGAAAAGACUCGAGGAUGACUUUGCAGAGCGAUUUCCCACAACACCUUUUUGGCAGUCUUAAACUACUACAAACAGUGGAUGAUGACUCAACUUGUUUUCCACUUGAUUUACUUGAGAGAUUUCAUAAUCUGGAAACUCUCAUACGGCGUCGUUGUUCAUGCGAAGAGGUAUUUUCGAAUGGAGGAUACUUGAAGAAACAUGUGAGGAAGUUUACAAUGAUAAAACAUUUAGAUCUGCACAAAUUUAAUCAUCUGAAGCAAUUGUGGAAACAAGACUCCAAAUUGGACUCGUUUGUUCAAUGCCUUGAAAUUCUAAAUGUACAUUAUUGUCAAAAUCUGUUAAUUCUUUUGUCUUUGCUGCUAAUUCUUUAAUUCUUUUCGGUUCUUAAGUUUCUCUGUGAUUUGUUCUGGAUUGAUUCUUUUUGCAUCUUGGUUGUUUGAUUUGCGAUCUUGGCGAGUAUUUGGAGUUGAUCAUUAUCGAAUCUGUCACUCCAAACUCUACAGCGACUCUUAUCAAUGUUGGUAUAUGGAUGCAGAGCAAUGAGAGAGGUGGUGAUAAAUGACGAAGAUGGAGCAGCAAAUUUUGAAGAAGAGAUUGUUUUCACCAAAUUGAAGAUUUUGUAUCUGUAUGAUUUGGAUAGUCUCACAAGUUUCUGCUCUGCCAAUUACACCUUCAAAUUCCCAUCUUUGGAAGAUUUAUCUAUAAUUGGUUGUCCCAAGAUGAAGAUUUUCACUAAAGGAGAAUUAAACGCGCCUCUCAGAGUAAACUUCUACUAUGGAGAGAGAGACGAUCAACAGCCUUGGGCUAAUAAUGAUCUUAACACAAUCAUACAGCAUUUACAUGCUGAGAAGGUACGAAUAACUCACUAUCACCAGUGGAAAAAUUUUAUAAAAUUUCUCUUUUAAAUAAAAUGCACCAAAUAGAUCAGAUAUUUGUUAUAAAGUAAGUUUAUGAUCACGUACUGGCAGAUGGGAUACAUAUGUGCUUCAUUCUUGAAACUCUACCCUAUUUAAAAUUGAUAUUUUCACAAGAGUUAGAGAAUCCUAUUCAUUCAAUUAUCCAAAAUCAGAGAAUCUUAUUCAUUCAAUUACAAAAUUUCGUUAAUCGUUAGUUUUUAACUUCAUUACUGUAUGGAAGUCCUGUCAAAUUAAAUUGCUGUUGUUAAAUUUAUUAAAUCUCUUGCUUCCCUGCAAAUCUCUGCGUGCUUUACUUUUAAUUGAAACUAAUGAAUGAAAAUUUUACUUUCAGCUGUUGGAGGGGUCCUCAUCUUAUUCAAUGAUGUAUAUGUCCUAAUGGCAUUGGCCUUUUACUUUAAUUACAAGCGAGUUGUGAAUUUGAAAAACAAAGUCCCAGGUAAUUCAAUUUCAUUUCAUUUUAUUUUAUUUCUUGGCUUGUUUUAUCGCUUCAUCUAAAUUGUUUGGAAUACACCACUAGUUUAUUUUUACUUUUAGAAUGAGUUUUAAUGUUUUGUUCUGAGAUUUAUAUGCUGAUUUUAUAUCAUUAAAGGUCUUAGUGACUUAGUUUGGUCUUCACUUAUUUAUUUAUUUAUUUUUUUGACGUCGUGGCUUUAUAAUGUGUUUUUUUUUUUAAUUUUGAAUUUUAUAAUUCCUUGAAAAUGUCAUUGAAAGGGCCAGCACUUUUAUGUGGAAACCAUCUCAUCCUCCUUAUUUCAAACUAUUAAACAACCAAAUGUAUCCUAACAUAUAUGUUUAGAAUCAAUCUACUCAUUAAGAUAUAUGGUAAUGGUGUCAUCUGUUUGCUAUAGUUUGAUUACAAGAGAACUUUUCCAUUUGUUAGUUGCCAUCUUUGUUGAUCUGUUAAUUCAGUCUUCUUCUGUUUGUCCUGUUUAUCUGUUUAUUUCAACCUUUCUUUCAAAACUUAGAAGGUAUGGAAAGAGCAAGUACUUAGAAAUUGCGAGAAUUAUAUCAAAUCAUGCAUAUAUGCCCCUGCCUAUGAACUCUUAGGAACAAUCGAAUAUCUUUCCUUGAAUAGCAUAAAACAAAAUCUACAGAUCAUUAAACCAUCAAAAGUUAGCUAUGAACAACUAUAUAAAAAUCAUUUGUUUCUCACCUUUUCGUGAGUCUGAGAAGUUGUAAAUUCUACUGAGUUUCUCACCUUUUUUUUUUUUUGGACAAUUGGAGUUUUUAGUUUAUGAAACUUAAUGCCUAUAUUUCUCACAUUGUAAAAGUGUUUUGAAAAGAUGGUUUAUAUUGCACCAUAAAAAUGUGGUCUGAUAAACCAACAGGGGAGUAGUUUGAUCCAGUUACGUGAAAUGCAUGCAAAAUAAUAUUUUCUCUAUAGUUACUGAAGAGAAUUUUGGUCACUUUGGUGUGCAUUAUCUGGAAUAAAGUCGUUUUCCAGUUUCUUCAAAGUUUAUGUGCGGAGGACUUCCGGUUUCCAUCUCAAGUUCAAAUACUAAUAAAGAUGAGUAAAUUCAUCAUCCGUGUGUCUGCUCUUUCUAUGCAUUUUGACAUUUUUUAUUAAUGCGUCUUUAACAGUAGUUUUUUUUCACAGAAAAAAUUGUCAGUAUUUUGUGUCAAAUAAAAAAUUAAAAAAUAUAUAUGUAUUUUGGGCGAAACUUUUUGCGAAAAAUAAUGAGUGCCAACACUUUAUAACUUAAUAUGUAUUUUGGGCUUGGCGAAGUUACGGUUCAUGUAACUAAUCAAUUUAAUCAUUACCGGAUAAAAUUGAAUACACCAGUAGUGUUUUUCCACGGAGAUAUUGCCAAAUUUUGUGUCAAAUAAAGAAUAAAAACCAUAAAUACCAGUAGUGUCCGAUUUUGAAAGCAAAGCAGCAUACAUAUUAACUACUAGGCUUUGAUGGUGGUUGCAGUAAAAAGGAUUAAAAGAGAGAGAGAGAGAGAACUUGAAAACUAUGGAAUGGAAGAUAAAUCAAAGUUAUAAAUUUGGACUCAAUAGUUUUGAUGUUCAAUCAAAUAUGGAGGGGCGAUUAGAAAUUAUCAAAAAUUUAGAGGGAUUUCAACCGUUCAAUUCAUUAUUAGGCGUUGUAGACUGCAGGGAUGCAGAAAUUUCCACAGGGACGAUGGCCCCGAGGGAUCUUCCUCAUUCGGGAGUUUGAUAAUUUUAGAUCUAAUUUUUCUAUGUGGAGACAAGACUGUGAUCAAUUAAUAUGUGUGGGUGUAAGUUACAUGAAAUAUAACUUAGUGUUUGCCCUAAUAUUUUAUUUGGCUCCACAUUUUUCUAUUUCUAUCUUUAGUUCUAUUUUUAAUUAAUUUAUUUCAAAUUUAUAGUAAAUACAUUUAAAAUUUCAAUUAUAAUAGUGUGAUGUAAAUAAAAAAUAUCACAAUACAUUUAUAAAAAUAAUAUAAAUAACAGCCAAUAUAAAGUAAAUAUAAACAUUUUAAAAUUGACAAAGAUAAUUUAAUUGAUGGUUUAUACUAUAUGACAUUUAUGGAUGAGUUCAACUUUGAAGAUUUACUUUUGCUUAAUUAGUUCAAAGAUUAUCUUCUAAUUUGAUGACAUUGACUUAAUUUGAUGGAAAUGAUUUUAAUCACUUUAGUUAAUUUGAUAUUUUUUGUGUUAAUAUGAUUUUAUAUUUUUACUUUAAGAUGAUUAAAUUAAGAAAAAAAAGAAAUUAAAUAAUCAGAGAUCGGAUAGCAUCGGAGAUCCCUUUGUAUUAUUUAGAAACAUCCAUCCCCUUCUUUCAAGUGAUUUUGAAGGAAAUGUCUAGAGUACAAAGAGAUAGACAGAGUAUUAAAGAUGAGUAUGGGGAAAUCAAUCCCCUCUCCUUCCCUUCUUAUUGACAUCUUUACAUGUGAGCCCAAGGGGAAAUGCACCAUGCCUGAUAAAAGUAAAAUUAAAAAUAAAAAUUUUCUUUUAUCAAAUCACUCUAUGUGGUGGAGAUUAUUGUAUAAUCAAGUACACAUGGCAUUUUUAAAAGCUUUUUCUUUAUUUAAAGCUCUAAAGGUUUGCCUAAGAGUCAAGGUUGGUGCCGUUCUUCUAGAAGAACAACCCGUAUCUUUUGAUAUUCAAAGUUUGAAUAUCAAGUUCAAACUUUAAAUUUUGAAAUAAUAAUAAUAAUAAAUAUAAAAAGUGCCAAAUUUUUAGCUAUAAAUAGAGGGGUUCACCCCCUCAUUUCACUCAUUCCAUUCUUUUCUUCUUUAGUUCUAUAAUGAGAGAGUAAGAGUUUUAUACUCUUGAGUGACUAGUGUUUAGAGAGAUUGGGUGUAUUAAGGUUUUGAUAAGUGAAACAAAAUACUAAAAUACUUAUAAUUCUCAUUUCACUAGUAAAGUUUUAUCCUUUUGUCCUUGCCUAUGGGCAUAAGUUAAAAGCCGAACCAAAUAAUUUAUGGUGUCCUCUGUGUGCUUGUUCUUCAUUUUCUUCCAAUUUCAUUUUAGUCGUGGCCCUACUUCACCAAUCAAUUUUCUAAUAGUGGUAUUAGAGCCGGGUUGUAUUUUUUGGGGUCGAGAUACUAUUUACAUAUAUUGUAUUGUUCAUGUAUAUGAUAUUGUUUCUGUAUACGACACUUUAUUCAUAUAUACAGUUACUGCUCAUGUGAAAUGGUAGGAAUCGAUCUUAGCAAAGGUAGCUCGUGGUGAAAAGUGAUGGCGGAAAAAUACAAAAUUGAGAAGUUCAACAGAAAUAAUUUUUCGUCAUGAAAAAUGAAGAUGAAGGUUGUAUUGAGGAAAAGUAAUUGCUUGGCAGCAAUUGAAGAGAGGCUCACAAAGAUAACUAAUGAUGGCAAGUGGAAUGAGAUAGACAAUAAUGCCAUUGCAUAUCUACACUUACCACUUUCAGAUAGGGUAUUUUUCAAUAUGGUAGAGUAAAAGAGAGUAAAGGAAAUAUGGUUUACUCUCACAAGACUAUACGAGGUCAAAUCACUACAAAAUAAAAUCUUCUUAAAGAUGAGGCUUUAUACUCUUCAAAUGGAGGAAUCUACAUCAGUGAUCGACCAUAUCAACACUUUAAAGACUUUAUUUUCAUAACUUACAACGUUGGGUCAUAAAAUAGAGGAAAAUAAACAUAUAGAGCUUUUACUUCAAGGUUUACCAGAUUCGUAUGAUCAAUUCGUCAUUAAUAUAACUAAUAACAAUCGAGCAAACAAGUUAGUCUUUGACAAUAUGGCAGCCUCCGUAUUAAAUGAGGAGAGUAGCAAAAAAUAAAAAAGAUAGACAGAAGAGUUCGCAACAAGUAGAAGCGCUAUUGGUGAUGAAAGGAAGAUCCAUGGAACGUGGCCCUAGUGAGAGCCACAGUCACGGUAGAUCAAAAUCUAGAAGUAAAAAGAAUGUCAAAUGCAACAACUGUUGCAAGAAAGGGCAUGUCAAGGAAGAGUUUUGGAACAACUAGAAGAGAAGAGAUGGUAAAGAUUCUGAGUCAUCAAAUGCUCAAGGGUAUGUAGUAAGUACCUCGUAUGAUGGCAAAAUUCUCUACAGUAAGGCAACAACUGCUUCAGAAGAUAGAAAACCACUAUAUGACAUCUGGCUUAUAGACUUAAUAGUUGCCUGGCACAUGAUCUCUCCAAGAGAAUGAUUUCACAAAUAUGAACCUAUUUCAAGAGAAUUUGUAUACAUAGGUGAUGAUUAUGCCUUUGAGAUUACUGAUAUUGGUACUGUCAAAAUAAAUAUGUUUAAUGGUAUGGUUCGCACAAUUGAGAAGGUAAGACAUGUCAAAGACUUGAAAAAUAUCUCUUGUCUUUAGGACAAAUAGAUAGUCUUACGCGCAAAACUCAUGUAGAAAAUGGGAUCAUAAAGAUAGUCAAAGGCGCACUUGCAUUAAUGAAGGUGGAAAAGAUCGGUGAUAAUUUAUUCAUGCUUAAAGGGAAACACUACAGAAAGCUUUUGUGUCAGUCACAUCAAAUAGAGAAAAUUCAGUGAUGAUGUGGCAUCUUAAACUUGGCCACAUGUCAAAACAAGGAAGCAACAUAGAUGAAAGUUUAGCAGAUCCACUUUCAAAAGUAAAUGUAUUUUAGACUUGAUUCAUUCUAAUGUUUGGGAAUCAAUUGAUAUAUCUAUGGGAGGUGCAAAGUACUUGGUGACUUUUAUUAAUGAUUAUUCUAGGAGAUAUUUGGUGUAUCCAAUCAAGAAAAGGUCAAAUGUAUUUCCAUUGUUCAAAGAAUUCAAAGCGUAGAUUGAACUUAAAUCAGGGCAAGGGAUCAAGUGCCUGAGGACAGACAAUGGUGGAGAGUAUACAAAUAGCAUGUUUCUUGCAUAUGUAAGCAAGAAAGUAUCUAGAGAUAGUUCACGGUGGCAUACACUCCUCAAUAAAAUAGAGUAGUAGAGUGAAAGGGCAUGACUCUUAUAAAAAAAAAAAGAGUUAUGUUGAGAAAUGCUGGUCUACCAACUCAUUCUAGGUGGAAGUAGCAAAAACUACUUAUUAUGUGGUAAGUGGGUCAUCAUUCAAUGCAACCGGGUUGAAAAUUCCAAUGGAAAAAAUAGACAGGAAAGCCAGUUGAUUACUCUCAUCUCAGGCAUUUUGAUGUCCUUUUACGUGAUAUACAAUACCCAAGUGAGAUUAAAGAUGGAUCCAAAAUCCAAGAGAUGUAUCUUCUUAGGAUAUAUUGAUGGAGUGAAAGGGUAUUAUCUGUGGGACCUCAAUGCCCAUAAGAUCGUUAUCAGUAGAGAUAUUAUCUUUGUAGAAGAUCAAAUGCAAAAGAGAGAUAUGGAUGAUAGCACUAUAAAAAUUCAGAGAUUGUGCUAAUAUAUGUUGAAAAUAAUCUGGAAAAUGAAGAUUUAGAUUUUUUUGAAGCAGCACCAAAGUAUGAGAACAAGAACCAAUCGAGUCUGAGGCCCCAAAAGUUUGUUGGUCAACUCGUGAUAGAUAAUUGUCAGUGUGGCAUUUGGAUUAUGUCACAGAUAUCAAUUUUGCAUACUGUCUUUUAAUAGAGAAUGGAAAGCCAUCAACUUUUCAUGAAACCUUAAACAGCUCAGAUGUUACUUUGUGAAUGAUAGCAAUGCAGGAAGAAAUUAAGGCUCUACACAAGAAUAUGACAUAGGAACUCGUACUACUACUAUAUGAAAAAAAAAAGACCCAUUGGUUGGAAAUGGGUCCAUAAGAUCAAACGUGAUGGUAAUAACCUAGUGGAGCGGUAUCAUGAAAGAUUGGUGAUGGAAGAAUAUCCUUAGAAAGAAUGUAUUAACUUCAAUGAGAUAUUUUCUCCAGUGAUUUGACUCAGGACAGUCAGAGUGGUCUUGUCGAUGUGUGCUACAUUUGACCUAUAUUUGGAGCAGUUAGAUGUGAAAAUUUCAUUUCUUUAUGGAGAACUUGAAGAAAAGAUUUCUAUGCUCUAACUAGAAGGUUUUACUAAAAAGGGACACUUGGUUUGCAAGUUAAACAAAUCUCUAUACGAUCUCAAACAUGCACCGAGAUGUUGAUAUAAGAGAUUUGAUCCAUUCAUCAUAAACCUUGGAUACAAUAGAAUCAGUUCAGACUGUUGUACAUAUUACAACAAGUUUGAUAAUAAUAAUUUCAUCAUUCUACUGUGGUAUGUUGAUGACAUAUUAGUAGCAGGCCCCAACAAAGAUCGAGUCCAAGAACUAAAGCACAGUUAACUAGGGAGUUUGAAAUAAAAGACUUAGAACCAGCAAACAAGAUUUUAGGGAUGCAAAUUCACCGAGAUAGUAAUAGCAAAAAGAUUUGGCUUUCUACCCCGCCUCCCAUUAAUUUCAAGUUAUUCUUAAGUAUUCAUCUAGUAAUGAAGUAGAGAAGAAGAGAUGUCUUGAGUACUGUAUGCAUCAGCAGUGGAAAAUUUAAGGUUCGCUAUGAUUUGUACAAGUAGUGGGAGAGGUUAGUCGAUACAUAGCGAAUCCUUGCAAAGAACAUUGGAAGACUAUUAAGAGGAUUCUGAGAUAUAUCAUAGGAACAUCAGAUGUUGCAUUAUGUUACGAAGGAUACUGUCAAGGGCCAUGUGCAUUCAGAUUUUGCAGAAAAUCUUAAUAAAAAAAAAUCCACUACUGGCUAAGUAUUUGCACCAGAAUGAGAAAUUGUUAGUUGGAUUUCAAAAUUGCAGACCAUUGUGGCUUUAUCAACAACAGAAGCAGAUUACAUAGCAGCUACACAAGCUUGGAUGAGCUAUUUAGAUACAAAGGUUACUGAAGGAGCUUGGGCAUAAAAUUUUUUAUGGCUUGUGAUAGUUAGAAUGCAAGGAAUCCAACCUUUUAUUUUAGGACAAAGAAUAUAGGAGUACAAUAUCACUUCUUCGUGAAGUAGUGAAAGAUAUAAGAGUGGAUACCAAGGAGAACUUAACAAAUGUUUUGCCCAAGCCUAUCAAUGCUGAUAAAUUUGUUUGGAGUAGAUCAUUUUACGGCCUAGUAGAGACAUAAACAACAUGACAGCGGCGAAGUAGAAAGGAUGGUGUGGAGAUUGAUUGAUUCUCAAUCAAAUUUCUAAGUGGGAGAAUAUCAAAGUCAAUGUCGCUUUUCUAGAAGAGCGACCAAUACCUUUUGAUAUUCAAAGUUUGAAUGUCAAGUUCAAACUUUGAAUUUAAUAUAUAUAUAUAUAUAUAUAUAUAUAUAUAUAUAUAUAUAUAUAUAUAUAUAUAUAUAAAUAGUGCCCAAAAUUUUAACUAUAAAUGAGGGGUUCACCCCUGCAUUUCAUUCUUUUCUUCUUCAAUUCUAGUGUGAGAGACUAAGAGUUUUAAUGCUCUUGAGUGAUUAGUGUUUUAAGAGAUUGAGUGGAUUGGGGUUCUGGGAAGUGAAACAAAAUAUUAUAAUACUAGUAAUCCUCAUUUCACCACUAAAGUUUUAUCUUUUGUCUUUACCCAUAGACGUAGGUUAAAAGUCGAACCACGUAAUUUUUAGUGUCCUCUGUGUGCUUGCUCUUCAUUUUCUUCCAAUUUUAUUUUAGCUAUGGACCUACUUCACCAGUAAAUUGAAGACGUUGGAACUGCGUGAUUUAGAUAGCCUCACAAGUUUCUGCUCUACCAAUUACACCUUCAAAUUCCCAUCUUUGCAAGAGUUAUGUGUGAUUGGUUGUCCCAAGAUGAAGAUUUUCACUACAGGAGAAUCAAUCACGCCGAGUAAACGUCUGCUAUGGAGAGACAGCGGAUCAACGGCGCUGGGCUAAUAAUGAUCUAAACACAACCAUACAACAAUUACAUGCUGAGAAGGUACGUAUAUACAUAUUACUCUCUAUCUCCCAUGAUAAAUUUUUACAAAAUUUGCUUUCUUAAAUACAAUAUAGAUAAGAUAUUUGAUGAAUAAGAAUUUUAUUUUAAGCUGUUGGCGGUGUCGUCGUCAUACUCUACGCAGUAGUACGACUAAUGUCAUAGGCUUCUUAUGACCUGGAGUUGCGAAUUUUUAGAAGAAAGUCUCAACUGGUAAUUAAUUUUUAUUUCAUUUAUUUAAUCCCAUGGCUUGUUUCGCAAUUUCAUCUGAAUUAUUUAGAAUGGGUCCCUCGGUUUACUGUUAAAUUUGCAAUGCAAUUUUAAUGAUCCUUUCAGACUUUUAUGGACAGAUUUUGCAAAAUUGAAUGUCUUUUAGUCUAGUUUAAUUUGAGUUUUUCUUUUUUUUUUUAGAGCUCCCCAUGUUUUCUAAAAUUUUAUAAUUCCUUGCAUACUUUUUAGGAUAAAAUUUCAUUAAAAGCCUUCAUAUUUUAUAAUUCCUUGAAAACUUGCAUACUUUUUCCUUUUUUUUUCUUGCCAAUUAUUUAUUGUCAUCAUUGCUGUUCUUUUAUUUUAGUUUGUGCUCUGUUUGUUCAUUGGGUUUGCUUUUCGGAAAGUUAGAAGGCAAGGAAAGUACUUAGAAAAUGUUCUUCCCUAUGAACACAUAAUUAACAGCUGAAUAUCAUUCAUUGGAUUAAAAAAAAUUAAAAUAAAAAAAAGUAAUAAGCCCAUUAUUCCUAGAACAAAUCCUUAAACCAUCAAACGUUAGCUAUGAACAAGUAUAUUGGUCUAUAGCAUAUUCAUAAUAUUUUCUCUGCUGUUCCUGUUAAAAUUUCUCUACUCAAUGAUCGCAGAAUAUCUGGAUACUGAUGAAGAUUUAAGUCACUCUUCUUCUAUGAAUAAGGUCGUUUUUCUUUUUUCUUCUAUUCAAAGUUUCCAUUCUGAGCAGUUCCCAUUUCCAUCUUCGUGAUCUUCUUGUGAUAGUGUGAGUUACAACCUGUCUGUUUCCUUUGUUUGAUCAUUGCAAGUUCAAAGACAUUUUAUUCUAGCUAAGCUCUUUGUAUGUAUUAUAACAUUUUUAUUCUCAAUAUAUAUAUGACUCAAUGAGAGGUCUUUUAUUAUAUUUAUGUCGUGAAUUUCUAUUGUAUUGUGACAUUUGAUGGUGUAUCAUUGUCUCAUUGCAAGGUCUUGUAAUCACUCUGAUUCUCAUUUGAGGAGGUUGGUCUCGUCUAUGUGUAUGUAUUUAUAUCCACAAGAAAUUUGAUAAAUGGUCUUGUCAUUUUCUCAUCAAAACAUCUAGUGCUUCAUAUGUUGGAGGGCUACCAGGCAUCAGGGCCAGUUUUUUAAACUCAAAGUUCUUCCUGUCAUUUUUUAACAAUAAUAAGGAAAGCCCAAGAGAAAAUCUAGAAGUCCUAAUAAGGACCGCUUCUGCAUAUAUUGUUCAUUUUCUUAAUUACCUUCAUUAUUAUUUUCGUUUUCAAUCGAUCAAACUUCAGUUUCUUAGCAUUAAUCUAAUUAUGUACUUCAUCUUGAAAUCCUUAAAUUACCCAUCAAAAUGUGAACGAUUAGUGUAUCAUUUUUGCACUAUAAGAAAUAGUUGUAUUACCGACCAGACAUUUCCACAAUAUACUAUUGAAAAUAAGUACUUUUUACAAAGGUAUUGUCAUUGAUGAGCCGUUGGAUAAAUAUGAAAAGUAUCAUACCUCGGUGAUAAAGAAAAUUCGUUUGUCGGAAAUGGAAUGUCGAGCCCAAAAUUACUCUAAACUUGGUAAAGUUAGAUUUUGGCCCAAUUUGUUUGAAAGUUUUAUACAUAAAGCACUUUUUUUUUUAUGUAAUUUGUGCAAUCUGAAGGGAGGUAUUGUAAAAUUAACAUAAAUAAAUGUAAUAUGCCAAUACCGUUUAAAACAAAAAAGAUAUCAUGAAAUUGAAAAAAAAUAAAUAAUAAUAAUAAUAACAACAUUAAAAGAAAAAGGAAAUUACGGAGAAGAAUAAUCGCUUCUUGAUCUCAACUCUCAAUUUGAAUACAAUCUCUGAAUCUCACUUCUCGAUCUGUCUCCAUUCUUCAUUCGCAUUUACUCGGUGGUAAUUAAUUCUUCACUCUCACUCGCCUUAUUUCCUGCAGAUUUCUUCAUUUUCCUUCACUGUUCGUUUUUAAGGUUCCAUUGUAUUUCCAUUGAGUUUGCAACUGUUCAAUUGCUCGAUCCACAUUAGUUUUAAGGUACGAUUGUUGGUUAUUUUCCUAAUCAAUAGACAACCCUAGAUACGAUCAUAGGAUUUAAUCAAUUGACAGUCUGAAAAAUCAGAGAGACCCAAAUCCUAAUCAACAAACGCAUACGAUGAUUCAUUUAAAUUAGAUUGUUUAUUCUCAUAACACAAUGCACUGCUAUGCUAUUUGUCACAAACAUUAAAAUCUUCAUACGAUAAAUCUUUUAAUUGACAAUAGAUUAAGUUGAUAAUUAAAUAGUAGCCAAUUAUCUAAUUAACAAACAUAAUCAUGACAAUAAUUCAGAGAAUAAACAAAUACCCAAAAAGUAAUAAAAUAAUUAAAGUAUAAGAAAGAUCUCACAGCAGUGAUGAAUCAAAGUUUCAUUAACCUUCAACCAGAAUAAUAGAUUUAGUUUUUCAUAGACAGGAGAGAAAAAUUUAGAUCUAGGGUUUCUUUCUCUUCAAAAAUCUCCGUCUUUGACAAUAGAUUCCUCCCUUAAAUUCUCUUCUCUCUCUUCUCCUCUAGAGUUCUUUUUAAAAUAAAAUACUAAUUUCUAAAAUAUUAUCUAAAUAUUAAAUGCGUAAUUACAAAAAUAACUAAAAAUACAAAACACGUUAAACUAAAAACUGCAGGUCCGUAGUAGACAGCAUGCGCCCACACCUUAUCAACAAAGUUCUUCUGAAGCUCAUAAUUUCUUCAAGAAAACAAUCAUCCUCAAACAUCAUCUUGUAGCUCAAUUUUAGCACCAAUCAAUAAAAUUGCACCUACCAAAAUAAAACACAAGUAAAUCACUAUUAUUAAGUGCAAAACAUCGAUAUUAAAAGAAGUAAAUAAUGCAAAACUAGUGCAUAAAUUGUACUCUAACACUUCAUUCCGAUCCCUUGAUCAUUACUCAUUUAUUUAUUUAUUCUUUGCUUCACUUCUAAGCUUAGCAAAGGAACUUGAACUUUGGCUUUUCAAAUAGGUCACUUUUGCUUUUAAUCUCGCCCAUGAUCUUCAUCAUGAAGAUGACAAACCAUUAUUCUUUAUUCUUCACUUUUGCUUUUAAUCUCGCCCAUGAUCUUCAUCGUGAAGAUGACAAACCAUUAUUCUUUAUUCUUCACUUGUUGAAUUUACAGAAUAUAUAGCAUUCUUAAAAUUUUAGCAAAUCGUUAUUCUUCAGCUUCAGCACCUCAUUAAAAAGUCAUUCUUUGAACUUAUUCUCAAUCAAGAAAAACAUAUGCGUUCGUUCGUUGUAGUCACUGUUGUUUUGUUAUUAAUGUUUGCUCCCUAUUGCCGUUAACUCUCUUGAGCUUCACAGGAUCAGGAAACCCUUUUCUCUUGGCAUCUGUUUUGUUGUAAUCUCUCAGUCCUUGUUGAUUAGUUUCUCUCCGCUCCCAAUUUAGUUGUGUCCUGCUGUUGUCUCUGUUUUGUUCCAUAUCUACUCUCUGCACUUCUGCUGUGUCAAGACAUCUUCUUUUGUUCAUUCGGUUGUGGUCUAUAAUAUAUUUUUCAUCUUUCUUUUGGUCUAUACUUAAGUUAUUUUGAUUGGUUCCUUUCUCCUUUAUUAUCUAAAUCCCUCCUUAUAUUUAUUCAAUCAGUUGUUACGCUUUCUUUCAUUUCUCCGCUUCCACAACCAGAUAAACUGUCCAUCUUUGUUGUUUCUUCUUUUUUCUCUUCUGUGGUUGGCUCUUGUUUAUUUGCUUUUCAGAACUCAAAAAAAAAAAAAAAAUAGAAGGAUCAAAGAUGGUGGAAACCAUUAUUACUGUUGUUUUGGAAGUUGUGAAAUGCUUGGCUCCUCUAGCAGAACGCCAACUUGGUUAUUUACGUAACUAUAAAACCAACUUUGAGAAUCUCAGGGCAAAAUUUGAUGAACUCAAGGAUGAAAGUAGGAGCAUUCAGCACAGAGUUUCUGAGGCUGAAAGAAAAGGAGAAAAGAUUGAAGAGAAGGUUGAAAAGUGGCUGGUUAGUGCAAACGACAUCAUUGACAGCGCAGCCAAAUUCAUUGAAAAUGAGGAGUCAACGAAUAAGCGUUGUCUCAAGGGCUUGUGUCCUAAUUUGAAGACCCGCUAUCAGCUUAGCAAGAAAGCAGAGACAGAAAUGAAGGCCCUUGUUGAACUUGGAGAAGAAGUAAAGAAGUUUGAUAUUGUUUCCCACCGUACCAUUCCGGAGGAGAUUUGGCUCAAGUCUCACAUAGGCUACGAGGCCUUCGAAUCAAGACGUUCUACUUUGGAGGCUAUAAAAAAAGCAUUGAUCGAUGUUAGCAUCAUUGGGGUGUACGGCAUGGGCGGCAUUGGAAAGACGACACUGGUGAAGGAGGUCUCCAGGCAAGCUAUGGAAGCCAAGCUCUUUGAUAUGGUGGUCUUUUCAGAGGUUUCGCAAACUCCAGACAUAAAAAAGAUUCAACAGGAAAUUGCCGAGAAGUUGGGCCUGGAGUUGCGCGAGGAAGUUGAAUCUGGAAGAGCAAGUAGACUAUUUGAGCGAUUGAGAAAUGAGAAGAAGAUCCUUGUGGUUUUAGAUAACAUCUGGAAACACCUUAAUUUGGAGACUGUUGGAAUUCCUUUUGCAGAAGAUCAUAAAGGAUGCAAACUACUGCUGACAGCAAGAGAUCGUAGUGUCCUCUUACAAAUGGGAUCCAAAGACAACUUUUUGAUAAACAACUUAAAAGAAGAAGAAGCCGGGAGAUUGUUUAAGAUGAUGGCCGGUGAUGAUGUUGAAAAUCGUGAGUUGAAAUCUACAGCAAUAGACGUCGCCAGGGCAUGUGGAGGUUUGCCCAUUGCCUUGAGUACGGUAGCAAAGGCAUUGAGAGGCAAGAGUCUGCAUGAAUGGAAGAAUUCCUUGCGAGAACUCCGAACGCCUUCAAUGGUAAACUUCGAAGGAGUAUCUGCAGAGACUUAUGCAAGUAUUGAGCUGAGUUUCAACCAAUUAAAAGGUGAACGCAAGGAAAUUUUUCAGCUCUGCAGUCUAAUGGGUAACCGUAUUUUUACUUUCGACUUGUUUAAGUACUCCAUGGGUUUGGGUAUAUUUAAAGGAGUCAAUAAGAUGGAAGAUGCACGAGACAAAUUAUAUGCAUUGGUCCAUGAACUUAGAGACUCUUGUUUGUUGCUUGAGGGUGAGAGCAAUGAACAAUUGUCAAUGCAUGAUGUUGUUCGCGAUGUCGCGAUAUCAAUUGCAUGCCGCCAGCAACAUGUGUUUUCGGUGAGGAAUGAGGAUGUGUGGGACUGGCCAGAUAAGGAUGCACUUCGAAAUUGCAAAGCUAUCUCUUUAAUAAAAAAUAGUAAUCGUGAAUUUCCUGAAGGAUUAGAAUGCCCAAACCUUGAAUUUUUAUAUAUCUCUCUCAAAGAUUUUUCUCUUGAAAUCAAUAUUCCUGAGAACUUUUUUGUAGGGAUGAAAAAGCUUAGAGUUCUAGAUUUUACUCGAAUGCAGUUUUCUUCUUUUCCAUCUUCAAUUGAUCUUCUAGUAAAUCUUCACACACUAUGUCUGGAUAAAAGUGCGUUGGGCGACAUAGCAAUCAUUGGGAAGUUGAAGAAUCUAGAAGUCCUUAGCUUUUUGAAGUCUGAUAUAACGCAGUUGCCAGAAGAACUAGGUCAAUUGAAUAAGUUGAGAUUGUUAGAUUUAACCAAUUGUUUCCGUCUGAAAGUUAUUGCCCCAAAUGUCAUAUCAAGCUUAAUCCGAUUAGAAGAGCUGUAUAUGGGUAAUUGCUCCAUUGAAUGGGAGGUUGAAAGAGCCAACAGCAAAAGAAGUAAUGCUAGCCUUGAUGAAUUGAUGCAUUUACCUCGGCUAACCACUCUAGAAAUUGAUGUUAAAAAUGACAGUAUGUUACCAGAAGGUUUUUUGGCCAGAAAGCUCGAAAGGUUCAAAAUAUCUAUUGGAAAUGGGUUAUUCACACAUCCCAUGAUUGCUGAACAAAAUUGGUUCCAAAGUCUGCGGCGCUUUUCUCGCAAAAGUGAUCGCAAGAGUUUAAGAGCAUUGAAGCUCAAGCUUGCUUUUAUGGACAUUUGCUCCAUGAAAUUGCAGGGCAUCAAUAACGUAGAAUGCUUAUGGUUGGACAAGCUGCAAGGCAUCGAGAAUGUUCUUUUCAAUUUGGACACAGAGGGCUUUUCACAAUUGAAGCUUCUCUGGGUUCAAAAUAAUCCUGACAUCUUUUGUAUCGUCGAUUCAAGGGCGAUGGUCGCUUGUGAUGCCUUUCCUCUUUUGGAGUCACUUGGCCUUCACAAUUUGAUCAACAUGGAGAGGAUAUGUAUUGAUCGGCUCAAAGUAGAGUCCUUCAACGAACUCAAAAUCAUACAAGCAUAUAAUUGUGAUAAAUUGAGUAAUAUCUUUUGGCUCUCUACAACAAAAUGCCUUCCAAGACUUGAGAGAAUUGCAGUUAUUAAUUGCAGCAAGAUGAAAGAGAUUUUUGCAAUUGGGGAAGAAGUUGAUAAUGCAAUUGAGAAGAUAGAGUUUGCUCAAUUAAGAUCUUUGAGUCUGGGGAAUCUUCCAGAGUUUACAAGUUUUUGCCGUGAGGUGAAGACUCCUUCAGCAUCACCAAACAGACCAGCGUCGCAGGAGGAAUCGACGACUACGUAUAGCUCCAGCGAAAUCACUUUGGAUACUUCAACUCUGCUUUUCAACGAGAAGGUGCGUAGGCUAACAUUUUCUUUAUUCUAUCAUGCGUUCUGUUUUGAUGUCAUACGUGGAAAAUAAUUAAAUCAUUUAAAGAAUUGAAAGAAAAUGGAAAAAAGGAUAAAAAGAAUCUCACGCGCUCACUAAUUGAGCUCUUAACAAGUAGUAUGAAUUAGAAUGCAUACUCAGCUGUCAGUUGGAAAUUGAUUCAGACUUGCAUUAAUUUGUAAUCAAAGAAGAAAAUUUCAACAAGUGCUUCCCAUAUGGAUAUUGGAUCUAACGAGAAAUUCUUCUUUUUUUAGGUUGCGUUGCCUAACUUGGAGGCUUUGGAGAUAUCUGCAAUUAAUGUCGACAAGAUUUGGCACUACAAUCAAAUUCCAGCGGCCGUGCUUCCUCACUUUCAAAGUUUAACACGAUUGAUUGUGUGGGGUUGUCACAAAUUAAAAUACAUAUUUUCAGCGUCUAUGAUCGGAAGCCUUAAGCAGCUCCGACACCUAGAUAUACGCUUCUGUGAGGAUUUAGAGGAGAUCAUUUCUGAAAACAGAGCAGAUGAAGUUAUCCCUUAUUUUGUCUUUCCACAGCUCACCACUCUAAGACUCGAAUGUCUACCAAAACUUAGAUGUUUGUACCCUGGAAUGCAUACUUCGGAAUGGCCCGCACUAGAAAUUCUUUUAGUGGGUCGUUGUGACAAAUUAAAGAUAUUCGAUGCAGAUUUAUCGCAGAAUAAUGAGAAUGAUCAACUUGGUAUUCCUGCACAACAGCCCCUAUUGCCGUUGGAAAAGGUACGAAGCCAUUUUCUAGAUUUUUUAUCAAUAGCGUAUUUUUAACUUCGAAAAAAAUGACAAAGCAUCGAUAAAUUAACACUCAAUAAAUUGAAAACUUUUAUUAUACAAUAAUCUUUGCUAGUCUAGAUUAAGAGAUCAAUGUGGUAGAUUAAUAAUUAUAUGAACUUUUUAAGGUAUAGCAUUUAUAAAAGAAUCCUUAGUCUUUCCAUAUAGAAGAACUUACAAAAUAAAUUAGUAAUUUAUUAUUGUGCAAUAAAAUAAUUUCAAACCAGUAUAAAUCAACCUUUUUUCCCUAAUUUCUUUUUUACCUCUAAAAUUAACAUAUAAAAUAAAUUUUAUCAAUAAUUCAUUUUUUUUUUAAAAUAUAAUAUAAAACAAAUACUAUAAAGUCACUGCGUGUGACCGUAGAUCAUCAAUUGACCUCAUUAGUUAUUAUGAUUGAUGAUGAUCAGAUCGUACCCAACUUGAAGGAACUAUCACUAAGUGGAAAAGAUGUGAAGAUGAUUUUGCAGGCCGAUUUCCCACAACACCUUUUUGGCAGUCUUAGAGAACUAGAGAUUGCUGCAGAUGACUCAGCUGGUUUUACAAUCUGGAACGUACUGGAGAGAUUUCACAAUCUCGAAAUACUCACACUGUUGUUUUUUUCAUCCCACGAAGAGCUAUUUUCGAUGGAAGGAUGCUUACAGAAACAUGUGGGGAAGUUGGCAAUGAUAAAAGAAUUACAGCUGCGCUGGCACUAUCAUCUGGAGCAGCUGUGCAAGCAAGACUCCAAACUUGGCCCCAUUUUUCAGUAUCUUGAAAUUCUAAAAGUAUAUCAUUGUCAAAGUCUGUUAAUUCUAUUGCCAUCAUCAUCGGUAUCUUUUGGGAACCUAACAAAACUUGUAGCUUUCGGUUGCAAGGAAUUGAUACACUUGGUAACAUCCUCCACAGCAAAAACUCUGGUGCGACUCAUAGCAAUAGAAAUAUAUGGAUGCAGAGCAAUGACAGAGGUGGUAAUAAAUGACAAAGAUGGAGUUGAAAAAGAAGAGAUUGUUUUUAGCAAAUUGAAGACGUUGGGACUGUUUGAUUUAGAUAGCCUCACAAGUUUCUGUUCUGCCAAUUACACCUUCAAAUUCCCAUCUUUGGAAUAUCUGGAUGUGAUUGGUUGUCCCAAGAUGAAGAUUUUCACUACAGGAGAAUCAAUCACGCCUCUAAGAGUAAACGUCUGCUAUGGAGAGACAGCGGAUCAACGGCGCUGGGCUAAUAAUGAUCUAAACACAAACAUACAACAAUUACAUGCUGAGAAGGUACGUAUAUACAUAUUACUCUCUAUCUCCCAUGAUAAAUUUUUACAAAAUUUGCUUUCUUAAAUACAAUAUAGAUAAGAUAUUUGUUAUAAAGUAAGUUUAAAUUGAUGAAUAAGAAUUUUACUUUCAGCUGUUGGCGGUGUCGUCGUCAUACUCUACGCAGUACGACUAAUUUCAUAGGCUUCUUAUGACUUGGAGUUGCGAAUUUUUAGAAGAAAGUCUCAACUGGUAAUUAAUUUUUAUUUCAUUUAUUUAAUCCCAUGUCUUGUUUCACAAUUUCAUCUGAAUUAUUUAGAAUGGGUCCCUCGGUUUACUGUUAAAUUUGCAAUGCAAUUUUAAUGAUCCUUUCAGACAUUUAUGGACAGAUUUUGCAAAAUUGAAUGUCUUUUAGUCUAGUUUAAUUUGAGUUUUUCAUUUUUUUUUUAGAGCUCCCCUUGUUUUCUAAAAUUUUAUAAUUCCUUGCAUACUUUUUAUGAUAAAGUUUCAUUAAAAGCCUUCAUAUUUUAUAAUUCCUUGAAAACGUGCAUACUUUUUCCUUUUUUUCUUUGCCAAUUAUUUAUUGUCAUCAUUGCUGUUCUUUUAUUUUAGUUUGUGCUCUAUUUGUUCAUUGGGUUUGCUUUUCGGAAAGUUAGAAGGCAAGGAAAGUACUUAGAAAAUAUUCUUCCCUAUGAACACAUAAUUAACAGCUGAAUAUCAUUCAUUGGAUUAAAAAAAAUUUAAAAUAAAAAGAAAGUAAUCAGCCCAUUAUUCCUAGAACAAAUCCUUAAACCAUCAAACGUUAGCUAUGAACAAGUAUAUUGGUCUAUAGCAUAUUCAUAAUAUUUUCUCUGCUGUUCCUGUUAAAAUUUCUCUACUCUAUGAUUGCAAAAUGUCUGGAUACUGAUGAAGAUUUAAGUCACUCUUCUUCUGUGAAUAAGGUCGUUUUUCUUUUUUCCUCUAUUCAAAGUUUCCAUUCUGAUGGGUUCCCAUUUCCAUCUUCGUGAUCUUCUUGUGAUAGUGUGAGUUACAACCUGUCUGUUUCCUUUGUUUGAUCAUCACAAGUUCAAAGACAUUUUAUUCUAGCUAAGCUCUGUGUAUGUAUUAUAACAUUUUUAUUCUCAAUAUAUAUGACUCAAUGAGAGGUCUUUUAUUAUAUAUAUGUCGUGAAUUUCUAUUGUAUUUUGACAUUUGAUGGUGUAUCAUUGUCUCAUUGCAAGGUCUUUUAAUCACUCUGAUUCUCAUUUGAGGAGGUUGGUCUCGUCUAUGUGUAUGUAUUUAUAUCCACAAGAAAUUUGAUAAAUGGUCUUGUCAUUUUCUCAUCAAAACAUCUGGUGCUUCAUAUGUUGGAGGGUUACCAGGCAUCAGGGCCAGAUUUUUAAACUCAAAGUUCUUCGUGUCAUUUUUUAACAAUAAUAAGGAAAGCCCAAGAGAAAAUCUAGAAGUCCUAAUAAGGACCGCUUCUACAUAUAUUGUUCAUUUUCUUAAUUACCUUCAUUAUUAUUUUCGUUUUCAAUCGAUCAAACUUCAGUUUCUUCAUCUUGAAAUCCUUAAUUUACUCAUCAAAAUGUGAACGCUUAGUGUAUCAUUUUUACACUAUAAGAAAUAGUCGUAUUACCGACCAGACAUUUCCACAAUAUACUAUUCAAAAUAAGUACUUUUUACGAAGGUAUUGUCAUUGACGAGCCGUUGGAUAAAUAUGAAAAGUAUCAUUCCUUGGUGAUAAAGAAAAUUCGUUUGUCGGAAAUGGAAUGUCGAGCCCAAAAUUACUCUAAACUUGGUAAAGUUAGAUUUUGGCCCAAUUUGUUUGAAAGUUUUAUACAUAAAGCACUUUUUUUUUUUUAUGUAAUUUGUGCAAUCUGAAGGGAGGUAUUGUAAAAUUAACAUAAAUAAAUGUAAUAUGCCAAUACCGUUUAAAACAAAAAAGAAAUCAUGAAAUUGAAAAUAUAUAUAUAAUAAUAAUAAUAACAACAUUAAAAGAAAAAAGGGGAUUACGGAGAAGAAGAAUCUCUUCUGGAUCACAACUCUCAAUUUCACUCAGUGGUAAUUAAUUCUUCACUCUCACUCGCCUUAUUUCCUGCGGAUUUCUUCAUUUUCCUUCACUGUUCAUUUUUAAGGUUCCAUUGUAUUUCCAUUGAGUUUGCAACUGUUCAAUUGAUCGAUCCUUAUUAGUUUUGGGACUUCAAUGACCAUAGAAGAAGAUUCUCACAGACAACUCUUCCUUCUUUUGUCUUUGUUUUUUUUUUUAUUUGUUUAUGCAUGUUUCCUUUGCUGAUUUAUUUACUUAUUUCUUUCUCUGAUGUCCCAAUUUAUCCUAUGAUAUUUCAAUUGAUGUAUUACGUUCAUGUUAUGUUUAUGGAUGCUUGCUCUACUGUCCUAAUUUACAAUUAAAUUUUACUCCGUCCUUAGCUAUCGAUUCACAGUGGUGUGUCAUUAAUAUGUACUUGUCUUAUUUUAUAUUUCAUUAACUAUUAUUUCAACAAUUGCUGCAGGUGUCAAAUAAUGAAUUUGUAUGAGCUUCAGUCCAAGGUAAUUAUCUUUUUCAUUUCAUGUUAUUUGAUCUCUAGGUUUAUUUUAUCGUUUCAUCUAAAUUAUUUGGAAUGCAUCAGCUGGUUUAUUCUUAAUUUUGGAACGAAUUUGAUGCAGCAGAUGGUUGCGAAGGAUGAGUGGAGUAUCUCUCUAGGGUAACAACUUGAGCUAUAAGUAUCUAUUUAGGGUGCAUAAUAUACAUUUCGAAGUUCGCGACGAGGGGAAUCUAAUCUAAUACUGUAGCGCCGCAUUAGUCUCGUGGUUCGAUUGAAAAUUAUAUUUAUUUCAUAUUAUUUUACAAGUUUAAGAUCUAUUUUCCUAUUGUUUUCGGGAUUUUUAUCUUUUUUUUUUUUCUAGAUAUAGAAUUUGAGUAACAUUUAUCUUAUUUCAGUUAGGAGAAUGUUAUUAUGUAGUAAUAUGUAGGUUUACUUAUUUUGGUAAAUUUGUGAUAUUUAAGUUUAGUUUAAAAGAAGUCCAAAACCUUAAUUUUGUUAUUCAGACUUUCAUUAAUAAAAUAUAAAACUUUCUAAAAAAGAAAAUGCUCGUCUGGUACCUAUAUUUUAACUUCAAUGCUCGUUUAGUUUUUAUAUUUUAAAAAAUACCUCAAUAUACCUUGAUAUUAAAUACGUUACAUUUUUCCUUAAAUUUUAUUUACUUUUACAAUAAUAUCUUGGCAAUAAUAUUCUUAAAUUAAUUAAUUUAUUUAUAAAAAAGUUAAUUGGAAAAUUAAUCAAGAAAUAUCAAUAUGAAAUAACCAGUAUUUUUUGUACUUUUACAACAAUCUUGCCAAUAAUUCUUUAUAAAUAAAUUAAUAGCAGCCAUCUUAAAGUAAUGUUUAAUAUUCUUAAAGCAAUCUUACUAAUAAAUGCAUAAAAAAUUUAAUUUACGAAAUUAGUCCUAAAACUAAAAUAAUAACAUAAAAGUUUUUAUUAAUAUUUAUUUUGUUUAAGGCUGGCUAGAUGAAUUACCAUUUUUUUCUUUUCAUUGAUAUUCCCAAAAAUAUUAUUCCAACACAGUAGGGGUGUCUUGAGGUUAGGGAUGGCAAUGGGGAGGGGAGGGGAGGGGACUAAUCUCCCCGUACCCAUCCCCGAUAUUUUGCGUAUGUCCUCGUCCCCUCCCCGUCCCCGUCCCCGUCAGAAUUACUUGAGAGAAUCUUCAUCCCCUCCCCGAAUAAUAACAGAGGAUCCCCGAUCCCCGAAUAACUAAUACAUUUUUUUUUUUCAAUUUUGAGUUAAUUAUAUUAAAAUAAAAAAAUUCAAAUAAAAGUAAAUUUCGAAAUAUAUCUUACAUGAAUAUCUAUUUCAAAAGUCACAUACAUUAAAUUAGUAAGUAACGCAGCAUGCAAGGGAUACAAACUAUCAUGAACAAAUUAAUAGUCUAAUACAAAAUUGUUACAAAUAAAAUCGAAUUUAGAUUCAAAAUUAACUUUUUCAAUGGUGGCGUGGGCACUUUAUAAAUGUGGACUAUUCCCUUUACAGCACAAUAGUUAAGUCCGAGCAAAUCAAGAGCAAAUAUUAGAUUAGAUUAGAUAUUAAAAUUGUGAUUCGCUGUGGGCAAUUAUAACAUCUAAAAAUAAAUAAAUAAAUAGAUUUAAGUUUAAAAUAUUUAAUGAAUAUUAAAAUUAAAACAAAAUUUUUGGGCUAAUAGAAUCUACUGGUCUUUUUAAUGUCCUAAAUAAAAAUUUAAGACUUUAAUUUGUUAAUUAGGCCUAAAAGUUUAAUAAUAUAAAUAUUUUGAUAUUUGUUAUUUUUACCAAUAUUUAUAAUUUUAUAAUUUAUUUACUAGUAAUUUUAAAAAAUAAAAAUAAAAUUAAAAAUUAAAAUGGGGAAAUGGGUAGGGUAUGGGGAUUCCACCUCAUCGCCGUCCCCUCCCUAAAUAAGAAAUUGGGUAAAAAAAUUUGCCCGUCCCUUCCCCGAAUAAGAAAUUGGGUAUGAAAUUAUCCUCAUACCCUCCCCGAAUAGGGAAAAUCCCCGAUGGUACCCGUCCCCGUGGGGAUUUUUGCCAUCCCUACUUGAGGUUGAGGCACUUUUUAAAAUAUAAGAACUAAAUGCGCUCUCAAGUCAAAAUAUAGAGACUAAAUGAACAUUUAUUCCUUUUAAAAAGCUUGUGUUUCUCUAUCUUUUCAAUCUCAAUGUUUUUGUUUCCGUUUCAUCAUAAGUUCUAAUGUUUGGUUCUCAUCUUAAUGUGCAAAUUUUACAUCAUUGAAGGUCUUUUGAUCUGAGUUAAGAUCAUAAAAUUAUACUUGCAUUGGUCAGGUUAUACGAAAAUUGUACAAAAUAAUAUUCUUAUAUAACUGUUGUCCUCUGUUAUUACGGAAUCCCCAAGUUCUGAAGAAGGUCGAAAUCAGGUCUCUCUACUGUGAAGCCCCUGGAAUAAGAGCUACAAAUGUGUUACCGUUGAAAGCAUGGCAGAAAACUUAGUACUUAAUUCAGACUCUUUGUGGCUUCAAUAUUUUACUUAACAUGAAAAAUUCUUUCUAGCUUGCAUCAUUGUAAAGAUAAAUUGUCGCAGUUCUGACAAUGAACAAGUAUAAAUGUCCACAGAGAAAAGUACUGAACAAUUAAUGUUAACAGCAAUCGAUUGGUGUGAGCGCCAACCACCAUUUUCAUAUUUAAGCCUUUAGAACAGCAAAACAAAAUACGGCAAGUGGCAACCACAUCAAAUAAUCAAAUUGUUGAUAGAUUUUGAAAGCUUUAAUUUGCUUGAUAUAUAUUUAAAUAUUUCAACAGAUGAUCUUUUCGCUACUCACGGGGCACGCUGAGUUAGAAACGGUUUGGAUGUCAAUAUUACUCCAAGUGCCUCAACCAAAUUCAGAAUGAAAAAAAACCAUCUGGUUACCUGCACUUUUGUUUAAGCAGCUAAUGAAGCUAAUUAGCACGAAAUAGUACACAAACUCGCGAGAAAUUUCAUUAGUAGAUCAUCAUCCUGGGAGGAAACCAGCAUCUUGACGCUUUUGUGAUCAAGAAAAUCUGCCAGAACCCCAAUUAAUGAAAAAGAAAUUAUAACAUCAUUUACGUAUAGUUUUACAAAAUCAACAGGACACUCACAGAGCACCUCCUACAGCUGGACCGGCAGUUUUGGUAAGCGACACUACAGUCAUAGCAAGUCCAUUAGCAGCUCCUCUUUGAUGCUGUUCCUUUUGUUGUGGCAUAAACCAACAAAUUAAAUUUAAACUUUGACACAUACAAAAUUUGAAAAAGCUGAAAGCAUGUAAAUGUACUAAACAAACAAAAGAAAAAAAAUAUUUACCACUGCUCUGUUUUGCAGAAGGAAUAAUCUAGUUAUUAUAGACACCUGAUAUUAUAAUUCAGGAAUAGUAAAAUAGAAUUACAACAUUUCUAAUAAAAAAAGACACAAAAUAAUUUUAUACAUACUUGAUGGAUAAUAUAACCUAAGUAUAUGGAUCAAUGAUUAGGAUAUCCACUUACAGCUAAAACAUUCUUCAUCACAGAAGCACAGUUUAUCAAAAAGGCAAGGCUGAACCCAGAUAGCAUUGCUAUGUAAGUGUAACUUGUCAAAAGCGGUAUCGAUAAAACCUGUACAUACAUAGAAAAUUAUGGGACCAAAACCAUGAAGAAAAGUAUUUUAUAAACAAAUAUGUUUGAAACAAACUAUCAAAUGGUCUAAAUGCCACAUGGUGUGUUCAAAAUUAUUGUUCUGUUUUAGUGACAAAACACUCAUCCCAUGACAUUGAGCUAUCAAUUCUCAUGGAUUCGUCACGCUUGAAAGGUUUGGUAGUUGUUCUGUUUUAUCUUCAGUUUCAUUUGUGAUCACAGAAACGUUAGGACUUGCGUGCAUGAAAGCACAUUAAAAUUUGAAAGUUCUGAAGAAGAUUCAGGUCACUCGCGUGCAGCCUCUGGAAUAAGAGCUGUGUUACUGUUUAAAAGUUUUCAUGCUGUGGGGCUUCCAUCUUCAUUAUUCUACGAAUGCUUAACUUCACUAUUCUACGAAUGCUUCACUUCACUACAUUGACAGCGUUGAAAGUGUAACUAAAACCCUUGCUUUCACAAGCAAGCAUCGGUGAAUGAAAAAGAAAGUCUCUCUCGAAGGUAAUUGACAGAGGAGCAAUCUUCUUACUCUUUAACUAAAUAUCAGAAAUACAAGGUUAAGGCAGCUAGGGUUGCGAAGGAGAAGGAUCGUUCCCGGAUUUUGCCUGCUUCAAGUUGUUGGGCUUGGUGAACCAAGUUGUGUACACGAAUUGCUUAUGAGGGCCCACAUGGUUGCAGACAAGCCUGAGCUUUUGUCUCUCCCUCAUGUCUCACAUUUUAUGAUGAAUCAAAUUGAACUCCCAACACGGUAGUUCAUAAAAUAUGCUUUUCUUCUUCCAAGUAAUCUUAUCAUUUCUCUCAUUUUAUUCAUUCUCCACUUUUCAAGUCUUCAAUCUUAAACUCAGUAAGGAUAUUAUUCAACUGCUUUUUCACUUCAGCUCCAGACAUCCGAGAAGGUGCUUGUCCCCACUCUCUAGAUUUAUCAAAAGGCACUAUAUUUUCGAAACCUAUGAUUCGUCAGUAAAAAUCGACGUUACCGACGUGACAAAAUUUUCUACUAUGUAUCAACCAAUUAGAUCUAGUGUUUUGUUGGCAAACAAGAAAUGCUUAUUUACCUUUAAUACUCCACUCAGACAAGUUGGCAUGUGCUAGAAAGUCACUGAUAGUCCAUAACAAUGCUGUGUGUGAAUUGAAUAUUUGAUUACGUGAUGUAUCAUGUAUCAUUCCAACCAUAUCAUCAUCAGCACCCGAGUCAUGACUAACCUGUUUCUUGGUUAGAUUCCAAAGAUGAAGAUGGCUCACCAUGCAAUAUCCAGUUUUAAUACUUUAACCAAAAACCAUUUAUAAUGAUAUGGUCUCUUGCUACUUCCCUUAAAACGAAAUAUUCGACACUUCUUACAAGGAUAAUAAAUUCUUGCAUCACCAACAACAUUCUCAAAUGCAAAAUCUAUAACUUAGAUAUCUAUUUGCCAAACCAACCCAACUCUUCUCCAUUACCAUCUCCUUUUAAUGCACUACAAAAAUUAGUUAGAUAAAUCAUUUUAGUUUUUCAUUUCUACUACUGACCAAGAUAUUUUCGUGUGUGCACAGUUUUGCAAUAUAAUUAAAAAAUCAUUAUACAAUUUUAUGGUUAAUUUCAUUAGAAUUUAUAUAUAUGAAAGCAAGUAAAGCGACAAGAAUCAGAGAAAAAGACGUGAAAAUUAAAGUAUAUAUACAACAAUAAUUAAUGUAAAAAACAGUUUCCAAUACCUUCUGUAAAGAAAUAUCCUCACCCACAGCUGAGAACUUCAGUUGGUUAUCAAUUACAGAUACAAAGCAUGUUACCUAGAAACAAAAAAAAAGGUCAGCCAGCUGAAACAUAUUUAUAAACCAACAUUGGAGAUAGUACUCCAUUUAUAAACAAAAUUACAAGCUCAAAACCAAGUUAACUCAGCAAAACUAUAACCGAUUACGUCCAUCCAACUCAGCUCCUCCACUCCCAUCAAUAUGUCCAACACUCCCUUCAUAUUUACAAAAGGUAAGUGGUCCCGUAUAUCCCUCUCAAGAAUGCAUAAGUUUCUUCAAUCUCAAGUACUUUAAAGUUUUCUUCUACGUUUAUAGAAAUUUCGGCAGCAUCUCCCUUUAGUUCUCCAAGCAACGACAUAGAUAUAUGAGUGUUUAUGUGUUAUCUAGUAUGCACCCAAAGAAGAUGAGAAGCAGCUUGCGAAAAACUCAUUUUUACGUGGGAAAAAAACUUCAGCUACUAGCUACCAUAGAAAACUAUGCAUUCCCAAACAGUUCAAGCCUAGACAAUUCAAGAAUUAUUAAUAGGCAUAUGAUCCUCACUAUCAUCCAAAGAUGACACUAAUAAAACAUGUGUCUAUUAAUAAUUUCUUAAACGAUCUAAGCUUUCAAUGCAUGUAUUGAAAGUUUAAAAUUCAAUCUGAAAUUUGAAUAACACAUAAAUAUCAUAAAUCUCUUCAAUUUGUUCCUAAUACAAUGUAGCAUUAUUACGCGCAUCAUUUCUUAAGCAAAUCCAUAAAAAAUACAAACAAUAAAUACAUUUUCUAGCACUGAUGCAGAUUAUGUUUACUAAGCAAUAAGUUUUAAGUCAUUCAUGUUAAAAUACUUUUUCCUAUUCUUUCAACAUAUAACUAGUACGUGCACACAAUUAAUAAAUUAAAUAUAACCUGGUUGUGAAUCUCGCAAAAAUCUUCCUAUUUUUUUUUUUUUGGUUGGGGGGGGGGGGGGGGGGUGUGAGCUGCUUGUGAAUCUUGCAAAUCCUCGGGAAGGCAUGUUAAGUCAAGGCCAACUUACUAUUAGGGUAUGAAAGAUAUAACCUUUUUUUUCCCUUUUCAGAGUAAAAAGAACAUUGACAGUGUUAAAAAAAUCUAGAGGAUUUCAGGCCCAUAUCCUAACAAAUCAAGGAUAUUAGAAAAAUUUACUGAGGAUAUAGUUUAUGCUCAAUUGUAUCUUGCAGGAAGAAAUUGAUAAGCCUCAGUUUCAAUUAGCUUCAUUAUAGCCAAUGAUUAGGUGUUUAAAAACCAAUGAAUAUUUUUAUAAGAAAUCAACCGUAUUGUCGGAAGAAAAACCAAAUAAAAAUAACAAAGCCAAUGAACAGACUAAUGCUCUUUAUGGUCUAAUAACUAAAAACCAAUGAGUAUUUUUAUAAGAAAUCAACAGUAUUGUUGGAAGAAAAACCAAAUAAAAAUAACAAAGCCAAUGAACAGAUUAACGCUCUUUAUGGUCUAAUAACUAAUCAAACUAAGUUGUGGGUAAAGGCGAAUAUGUUUGUUUGGUCAAUAAUAAGCUCAACGAAUCACUAAUAAGCACCUAAUCACUAUUCCUUAUGCUAUGCAAUGUAAUGGCCUGGGUAAUGGCAGCAAGGCAGGCAAGAACUAGCUAGCCAGUUAUGAUAGUUGAUUAAGAAACUUGAUUAUAUGUAUAUUUUUGUUUGCCACAUUUAAAGAGAAUUUUCCAAAGAUGCUAAGAUACACCAAAUCCCACUAUUUCCAUACUCAUAAAAACAAAAAGCCAUGGCAAAAAUGAAUGACUAUAUAAAAUAAAAUAGGUCAUAGGACAUUGAGAUUAAGGCAACAUGAUUUGUAUACCAUAAAAUAACUAUAUCUGCAUAGUCAAUUAUAUUUCUGUUAGAACUCUAAAGUUUUCAUUUAAAUUUUUUUCCCUGUUAUGUAAACCAUUUAACUGAAAUGCUUAAGCCAAUAUUAACAAUCAUAGACAUACAAGUAUUAAUAGGCUCGUUCAAGUGAAAUGAGCAUUAUUUCUCAUAUCCUUUAGGUUUUUAAGUCAUUUAGAAGUCAUUCAUGUUAAAAAAUUUCUUCAUAUACUUUCAUUAUAAUUAGUACAUAGACAAUUAUUUAAAUAAAUAAAUCUGUUUCUGCUAGUACAGGAAAUUAAUUAAUCAAAGCUAGUAGUUAUAGCUAGGACUUGAAUGAGGCACCUUUCAGAGUUCAAGAGGAGCAUCUGAACAGAACCUUUAUAGAAAUGGCAAUGACGCUUUACAUCUACAUGCUCUUACACAAUAUGGACUUUCAUUUAUUCAAGAACAUAACACUACUCCAAGCUCUUAUUCUACAAGUUAAUUCAGUUUAUAUUAUAAUUUCUGAAAAUAGAACGUAACAUUAUUAAUAUAGAAUCAGCAAUAUAUAUAACUUAUCAGACAAUAUAACAUGCACUUGGUGAGCAUACAAGAUAAACAAGUUAUCUAGAAAAUGAAACUAAAACCCAAGCUCCGCUAUUCAUUGUAGAAGCUUUAAACAUAAAAUUAAAGUAAAUCUAAUAGCAAAACAUUAGAAUGGAUGUUGGAAUUAAAGCUAAAUUCAAUAGUAAUUCAAAUGAAUCCAUUUGAACUUUGUAGAACAAAAUUAAUUUGAGUGAGCAAACACACCAAUGGAACAAGAACACAGGGCUUCAACUUGUAGGAAUAAAAACAAUUGCUGGCGAGACAAAAAUUGACAAUAACGACUACAAUACGAAUUAAAAAGAAUCAAAAUCUAUAAUUACAAGCUAAGUAAGAGAAGAAACUCAUAAUCACAAGCUUAACUCAAAAGAUGAAGGGAGAAUACGAUGAAGAAGAAGAUGCCCGGUGUUUUACGCCGUUCGCCGGCAACCAGUUAGGUUUACGAUGGAGUCCAGCGAAUAGUUUUCUAACUGGAAAUAAAUUUAAAAUUCUAAAAUAGUAGUAUACCGAACGGCUCUUUACCGUCACGUGGUUAGUAACAUAUGUGACAGCAGUGUGGCUGUCACAUAAAGGGUAACAAAAGCAACUCGGGGUUACAAAGAAGUUAGUGAUAUACGUAAUGGCUGCUUUUGCAUUCGCAUUAGGGGUCACAUAUACCAUAUUUUCUUGUAGUACAUGGUAAAUUCUAUUUGAAAAUUGCUAAGUAUUUUAGAUUUGUAUGAAUUCAUUUUUGUGUGCUCGUUGGAUAAUAAUAUAUAAUAAAUCAAAUUUUUGGUGUAAUUUUCACAAUAUUGUAUUAUAAAUAUGUCUCGUUGAAAGGUUUUGAAAUCGUUUUGAUUGAUCAUAAUUGAUAUUUCCACAUUUGCAAAAGAUGCCAGAGAAAAUCUGAUUAUCUUAAGAAAUGAGUGCAUGAGAUAUGAAAUCAACCAUAUAAUAAAAUCAAAUUUUAUUGUGUCAUCCUUCUUGGUUCAAAUUUAUGGAAACAAUAAUCAAAUGCAUCCAUGAACUAGCUAGUAUAUUCCGACACAUGUACCAUCAAAUUUUUGCUAUGUCAUACUUAUAUUUUGAAAUUUUAAUAACAACAAUUGGGCCAAGCAUAUGUUGGUACUUGAAGAUUUAUAAGCUCCAUCCUUGAAAAAAUAAGGCUUGACUGUCCUCAAUCUAAUUCUUUUUGUUUUAAGUUCCUAAUUAAGCUUUCUUGCUUGUUUUCAAGAGCCAGUUUUGUAAUGAUCGACAAACAUGAUUUGCAUAUAUUGCACUUGGUAUUUAUGUGUCACUUAUUAAUUAGAUUUAAAUUUUAUAAAUUAAUUAAGCUGAUUAAUACUUUAUGUUGAUGCAGAAAUCUAGUUGAGUUGGUUGUUGACUCAAAACCACAUCCCCGCAUCAGUAAUAAAUUUGUUUGGUGAAGAAGCGGCUUAUUAAUCUUCAAGAAAAUCCUCUAACCAUGAGCAGAUAAUUCAUGAGCCGAUAAUCUAUGAGCUGUUGAUUAGUGAGCACCAUGAGCAGAUAAUCCACGAGCUGCUGAUCAGUGAGCACCGUGAGCAGAUGUUCUAUGAGCAGAUGAUCCAUGAGCAGAUAACCCGCGAGCAUGCAAGCACAAAGAACAGUCAGGGGGCGCUAGAAGUUUUUCUGGUGAAAACCCUCCGACGCUCAAGUCACAAUAUUGUAUCCAACCAAUAAAAACUAAAAGAUCCAAAAGUUACAAGUUCUAACACCACCCAAAUAAAGGCAUGUUAGGAUUGUUUUUGGGAAGCUCAAAAGUGAUUUUAAAAACUAAAAGCUAAUUUUUAAUGUUUUAUAAAUUUAAAAACUAAAAGUUCUAACACCACCCAAAUAAAGGCAUGUUAGGAUUGUUUUUGGGAAUCUCAAAAGUGAUUUUAAAUAUUAAUGGUGCGUUUACUUCUUGGAAUAGGAAUGAGGUGGAAUGGGAAUGGACUGGAAAGGAAAUGAGGAAUGGGAAUGAGAUUUCAAUGUUUACUUGGCAAAAAUAAAUGGGAAUGGGAAUGUGCUGGAAUGCAAUUGAUGUGUUUACUUGGAAAAAUAAAUGAGAAUGAGAAUCAAUUUACCAUAAUACCCAUAGUAUUAAUAAUUAAUAAAAAUAAUUAAUUUAUCAUUAUUGUUGUUAUUAUUACUAUUAUUACUAUUAAAAAUAAUAUUAACAAUAAUUAAUAAUAACUAAAAUAAUAAAGUUAAUAAAAUAUUAUUAAAUUUUAUUAACUCUAUUAUUUUAGUUAUUAUUAAUUAUUGUUAAUAUUAUUUUUAUUAAUAUUAUCAUUAUUAACAUUUAUUAUUAUUAUUAAUAUUAUUAUUAUAUUUUAUUAACUUUAUUAUUUUAGUUAUUAUUAAUUACUGUUAAUAUUAUUUUCAUUAAUAUUAUCAUUAUUAACAUUUAUUAUUAUUAUUAUUAUUAUUAAAUUUUAUUAAAUUUAUUACUUUAGUUACUAUUAAUUAUUGCUAUUUUUAUUUUUAUUAAUAUUAUCAUUAUUAAAUUUUAUUAUUAUUAUUUUAAUUAAUAUCAUUUUAAUAAUAAUAUUUAUACAUGUAUCUAGAUAAUGAAAAUUACAUUAUUAUUAUUAUUAUUAUUAUUAUUAUUAAAUUUUAUUAACUUUAUUAUUUUAGUUAUUAUUACUUAUUGUUAUUAUUAUUAUUAAUAAUAAUAAUAAUAAUAACAAAAAUAAUGAUAAUAUUGUUAAUAAUGAUAAAUUAAUUAUUUUUUAUUAAUUAUUAUUUUUAUCAUUAUUUUUAUUGUUAAUAAUAAUAAUAUUAAUAAAAAUAAUUAAUAAUAACUAAAAUAAUAAAGUUAAUAAAAUUUAAUAAUAAUAAUAUUAUUAUUAUUAUUAAUGAAAUUUUAAAUAAUAAAAUUAAUUGUGAUUUGAAUGAGGGUAAUUUGGGAAAUAUGAAAAAAUUAGAGGGAUACAAAAGUAAAUAUAUAUUUCAUUCUCAUUCCCUCAUUUUUAUUCCCAACCCCUCAUGGGCUUGGGAUUCCCAUUCUUUAUUCCCAAAUUGUGUGAGACCCACACAUUUUAUUCUCAUUCCCAAAUUAUAUUUUGCCAAGUAAACAUGGGUUUCAUUCUCAUUCUUUCAUUCACAUUCCUCAUUCCAUGAAGUAAACAUACCAUAAAAGCUAAGUUUUAGUGUUUUAUAAAUUUUUUUAGUAAUUACUUUUGGUAAAAUCAUCUCAUCAUACAGUAGAUUUUGAAAAGUAGUGAAUGAAUAGUUUUUCAAAAUUUGAUUUUGAGAAUUACUUUUAUACUUAAUCCAAUUCUAUAUAUAUCCUCAUUAUAUAAUAAAAAUCCAAAAUUAUCUUUAUGAAUUAAGAAAUAAAAUCAUUAACUUAAAAUAGAUUAUUAUUAUUAUUACCAAUUAUAUUGAGAUAACAAAAUAGAGAAUACAAUUUAAUAAUAUAAAAUAUUUAUUUUAGUUAUCAAUAAUUAUAUGUACAUAAUAAAAAUAUUUUAUAUACAUGUUUGUAAAUGUGUAAAUAAAUUUUAUUUAGCAUUAUGUUCAAUUCAGUCAUUUAUAUUUUUUCACCAGUUUAAUAAUAAAAUUUACGAAACACAUACGUCUGCUUUUAAAACUAAAAGUACUUUUAAAAAUAAAUUUUACUAAAUGUUCAGCUGAUUCUCUUCACAAUUGAUCAAUUUCUACAGCAUAACUAACUGAAAUUAUUUUAAAAAUAAAAUUACCAAACUGACCCUAAAUCAAACCAAUAAAAAUGUUUAAAAGUAAUAAAAAUAAACCAAAGUAAAUGUACAAAAAUUCAUGCAUAAAUUGAUAAUCAACAAAAACAACCAAAAGUUUAACUCCAAGUUUUCUGUUCAAUUGACAUAACCCUUAAAUUUCAAAAGGCAUAAUCAAUUUUGUGUCUAAUCCUAUAAAAUUAGAAAAUUAAUGAAUUCAAGGGCAAAGCUACAUUGCAACAUGCCUUUGGUACCCCUCUCUUUUGUCUUUUUAAAGGUCAAUUAUAAUAGUGUCCUGGUAUUUGUUAUAAAAAUGAAAAUGUUGAAAAUUUUUAAAAUUUUACGCAUUAGUCCUACACCUACACAGUAUCAUUUUUCUCAUCCAUUUUGCACCAUCAAUGACAUCAUUUUUCUCACCCAUUUUAAUUAAAAGGUAAUUAAAAUUAUUUUCCAUAUAGAAACAGAAUAAUAAAAUAAAUUUUUUAUUCUUAUUUUUUAAUUAAUUAUAAAAAGAUAUUUUGUAUUAAAACAAUCACUAGUGACUACUGUUUCUUCGCGUGCAAUGAUAUUUUUAAUCGAAAGGGGACAUGAAGGGUUCCAUUAUAUUUGAAAUUGGAUGAUUUACAUAAAGAUAGUCUCAAUGCUAGCAAAUGGUGAUAUGUAAAGUUGCAUGCUCCUUCUAAAAUAACUGCAACAAUAACUAUACCACAAAAACACAAGGAGUUACAUUACACUACCACCUUUUCUUUUCUUUUCUUUUCUUUUUUUUUUUAAAUUUAGAGACCCUCAAUUUGGUUGUUAAAGGCAAUGAACCUUAAAACGUGAUGUAGGAAGCAUAUUAGAUAAAAUGAAUUAGAAUUUACUAGAAAUUAUAAUAUUUGGGUCAAUUUAAAAUUUAAUAUUUUAUUAAAAUUUAUCUUAUUUAUUAAGCUUACUUGAGUCAUAUUUGUAAUUCUAACCUAAUUAGGAUUUCAGAUUAUUUCUCUUAUUUGAGAAAGAUUAGCUACUAUUAUAUAUAUAAACUUGUUAUUCUUAAUUUAUGAUAACAGACACAAACUUCUUAUUAAUAAUUUUUAAUUUUUUCAUAAUUGAGAUAUCUUCUCCUUGGUGAGAGCAUCUUUUUAAAGUUUUCAAGACAUAAAUCAUAUUAGAGUUUUUUUCUGUACCAGGCAGAGCAUUCUCGACCACCAACUCCAUACAUUAGUUCCAUCAAGUUAAAAAAAAAAAACCCAACAAAACCCGAAGCCACCAUCACAUCCGUGCCACACGGCUGCCGCCGCCACUGGUUUCUCUUCUUUUUGGUCGAUCCUCUCUCCCAUCCAAAAGCCCUCACGUCGCCAAUCAUAACCCAACCCAUAACACCACCAUCCCGUCACCGUAGCCACGGGAAACUAGCCAAAACAGCCGCUGAACCACCACGAAAAUCCACCUCUCUAUUCGCUGCAAUCCGUUGCGAUUCACAUCCUCCACCACCACCCAUUCGUCCACGAUCAUCAGCUCUUUCUUUUCAACCCACUCACGCUGCCAACCCUCGGCCGGAUCGCCAGAAACUGAAACCAACCUCCACCCACUACUUUAACUCAACUUUUCAAUCAAAUCACAACUAUUUGAGACAAAUCACCACCAGCAUCACACUCAACACCAUCAAAUCUUCUAGAUCCACCUAUCCUAGGCCAAAUUUUCGACCAUCGUCGCUGGCAACACCAACUUUUGCCUAUUUAUAAUUUUGCCCCUUUACUUUUCUAUACUUAUACUAUUACCUAUAAUUUUAUGUUCUUUAAAAAACACCCAAAAACCAAACAAACUUAUAAAAAAAUAAAUAAAUUAGAAUUUACUAGGAAUUAUAAUAUUUGGGUCAAUUUAAAAUUUUGUAUUUUAUUAGGAUUUAUCUUAUUUUAUUAAGCUUACUUGAGUCAUAUUUGUAAUUCUAAUCUAAUUAGGAUUUUAGAUUAUUUCUCUUAUUUGAGAAAGAUAAGGAUUAAUUUAGCUACUAUUAUAUAUAUAGGCUUUUUAUUCUUAAUUUAUGAUAACAGACACAAGCUUCUCAUUAAUAAUAUUCAGUUUUUUCUCAAUUAAAAUAUCUCCUCUUUGAUGAGAGUCUCUUUCUUGAGUUUUCAAGACGUAUAAUAGAACGAAAUCUAGUAUCGCUUCCGCCCUGCGUUAAAAUGUCAUCUAAUCAUAGGGUCUUGUUAUAGUUGUUUGCAUUGGAAGGCUCAUCUAUCGCCGACAUAUCUAUUUAUCCGGCAACAUUGCCACCAUUACAUUGAUCAGAGAAUUUUGAAUACGUUGAUAGUUUUUUGUUUUUCUGUUCACUCACGUCUAUUUCUUAGUGAUGAUACCGUCAUUGUUGUCAUUGGUGGUGCAAUAAUUUUUAGCAAUAUUAUUUUGAUUUUUCAUUUGAUUUACAAAACUUAAAUAUUAAAUAUAAUACUUAAUUUUAGUCUCAUACACUUAAAUAUUACUAAUAUUCAAGUUCAUGGAUGGAUAUUGAAUAAAUCAAAUUCAGAGUAUUUUAUAUGGAUACUAUCCAAUCUAUUCAGAUCAGAUACUUAGACAUCCAACUUGAAUGGAUUUGUUUGCUCUUUCUAGCUGUUAACUUGAUUAAUAAUUCUAUUGGGUUUGGUUUUAAAACUCCUAAUAUGAUAAUUCAUUCAUGACACAAUUAAUUAUUCACUUAAUUAUAUUAAUUGACUUCUAUUUUAAUUGAUAGAUAUGUGUUGAAUUGUCAUCUCUAUUGUUAUCCAUGUGUGAUGUUAGCAAGAAAGAAGAAAGAAUAGAAAAUACUUAUUUUUAGUUUUUUUUAAAGAAAUAUUUAAAUUAUUUUCAAAUAGAGUAAUUGUUUAGAAUUUUUUUACCCUUCUCUCCGAUAAGUUAAUGACUAUUUAAAUAGUUGGGGUGGAGUAACAAAUACCAAUUUAUUUAAGCGUGCAAUUAAAUUAUUAUUAUUUAUUUAAGGACAAAAACUCAUUGUUAAAAAAAAGAUUUUACAAGUUAAUAAACUAACAUUUUAUUAUUAUUAGUAAAUUAACAUAUUUUUACUAUAUAAUUAAAUAGUUGAUAGUAUGUUUAAUAAAUAUUAUGUUACAAAAAAAAUUAACUACAUAGAAUAUGAAAUUAAGUUUAUUUUUGUAUUUUGUAUAUUUCAUCUACUUGAGAUAAUAAAAUCUCUUGUGUUGAAAAACAAAAUUAUGGGUUUUGAACCUUGUUCACAUAGGUGAGAGAUAAUUGGUUGCCAUUAUGUUAAAUUAAAAAAAAAAGAUCAUAUUUAUACUUAUCACUAAUUAUGGUUAGUAAAUAAUAUACAUGCAUUGUUUAACUAUAUAACAAAGUAGUUAAUUAAUUAAUUAAUUAAUUAAUUAAUUAAUUUAAAUAGAUAUUAAUAUAUGUAAGAAUAAGUCAUUUAAUUGGAAACCUAUUUCAAUGGAGUUAAAAAAAAAAGAGAGAAUAUUAUGGACUUAUAUGUCAAAUUUCAAAACUUUUGAUUUUGUUUAUUUUGCAUGAACAAUAAGGGUCUUUGAUGUUAAUAACCCAAUAAUCACAUCUCAGCCAUUACGCAAUUCUUACAUUAAAUCCAACGGUAGGUUUGAAAAAGACAAAAAAUAGGGUACCAAACCCCACGGGUAUUGUAGUUGGACCCUGAAAUUCAAACUCCUUUCACUUUUCUGUUGUUUGGUUUUCACUAAUAUAUGGGAAUUUAAUUUCUAUUUAAAUUUAAUUUUCAUCAAAUUGUGCAUUUUGGAUUCCCCACCGAAGGCUGUAAAAUUCAAAUUCUCCUCCUAUUAGAAAUCGAAUCUUCCAAAAUUGCUCCUCUCAAAUAUUUAUCAAUUAUUUUAAUUCUUAUCAAAUAAUUCUUAUUUAUGAUUUUAUUUUUUCAAUUUAAAUUGUCACUAAGGAGCCUGACUUACUACCACAGAAAAGCAAAAAUACAAUUUAUAGAUUAUGAUAAUUCCAUGUAUUGUAUGAGAAUUGCAAUCUAAAAAUUUUCCCUACAAAACUUUAAAGAAAUUAUUAUUAUUACCAAUUAUAUGGACAUAACAAAAUAGAGAAUAAAAUUUAAUAAUAUAAAAUAUUUAUUUUAGUUAUCAAUAAUUAUAUGUACGUAAUAAAAAUAUUUUAUAUACGUGUUUGUAAAUGUCUAAAUAAAUUUUAUUUAGCAUUAUGUCCGAUUCAGUCAUUUACAUUCUUGCACUGAUUUAACAAUAAGAUUUAUGAAACACAUACGACUGCUUUUAAAACUAAAUGUACUUUUUAAAAUAAAAUUUACUAAAUGUUCGGUUGAUUCUUUUCACAAUUUAUCAAUUUCUACAGCAUAGCUAACUGUAAUUAAUUUUAAAGAUAUAGGAUUACCAAACUAACCCUAAAUCAAACCAAUAAAAAUGUUUAAAAGUAAUAAUAAGAAACCAAAAUAAACGUACAAAAAUUCAUGCAUAAAUUGAUAAUCAACAAAAGCAUCCAAAAGUUUUACUCCAAGUUUUCUAUUCAAUUGACAUAACACUUAAAUUUCAAAAGGCAUAAUCAAUUUUGUGUCUAAUCCUAUAAAAUUAGAAAAUUAAAUAAUAUUAUAUACUAAUAAUUAAAUAAUAUGCAAUUAAUAAUGUUUAAAAAAUAAUGUUAAACAUAUUGUCAACUAAAAUAAUUGGGAGAAUUGGAGUUCCAAGAUAAAUUCUUAUCGAGUCCCAAAUCAACAAUUGGGAUUAAUUUCAAUCUUAAACUCCGAAACUCCGACUGCUUUUAAAAUUGGUCCUAAUAAUAUGAACAAAUCCCAUUCUGAUCAGUAUGGGAUCCCAAUCCCAUACCUUUGGAUUUCGAUGGUAUUUAGUUGGAGGGAGAAGAGAGGAAGGAAAUGAAUUCAAAUUCCUUUCACUUUUCUGUUGUUUGGUUUUCACUAAUAAAUGGGAAUUCAAUUUCUAUUGAAAUUUAAUUUUCAUCAAAUUGUGCAUUUUGGAUUCGUCACCGAAGGCUGUAAAAUUCAAAUUCCCCUCCGAUUAGAAAUCGAAUCUUCCAAAAUUGCUCCUCUCAAAUAUUUAUCAAUUAUUUUAAUUCUUGUCAAAUAAUUCUUAUUUAUGAUUUUAUUUUUUCAAUUUAAAUCGUCACUAAGGAGUCUAACUUACUACCACAGAAAAUCAAAAAUACAAUUUAUAGAUUAUGAUAAUUUUACGUAUUGUAUGAGAAUUGCAAUCCAAAAAUUUUCCCUACAAAACGCUUUUUAAUCGACAGCAAAUACAUGCUUUCAAAUUUAGUCAGCUGAACUAAUUUUUGUUUUUUUGGAUUAAUUUUGAAAUGUUGCAUCCAUAACGAGCUGGUAUUGAAAUUAAUGUUAACAACAAAAAUAGAUGCAAAAGGAGAAAUAAGCAUCAUGGCCAUUAAUAUUUUGACAUUCAAUGUUGAUUUUGAUCCCACUAAAUUAAGCCAUCAAAAAUUGCUGGGAAGGGAGUAAUAUCUAUUUAUAACUGGAAAUUACUCACCGUACAAUGAUGAUUGGAGCUGCAUGUAUCAUUUAUUAUUAACAAUUAACUUAUGAAAUGCUUUGAAUGUACCUCCUAGGUCGUAUUUACUACACUAGUUAGGAGAAAUUACGAUGUUAAAUUAUUUGAUAAAUACUUAUUAUAAUUUGAAAAAUAUGUCACAUUUGUCCUCCACUUUAUGAUAAAAAAUUUAAAAUAUAUAUAAAUCAUUCAUUUUAUAAUCUUGAACUUUAUUAAAGUUCGAAAAACUAGUAUUACUCUAUAUGAUAUAAUAGUGUGAUGUUGUUACACUAUUUUACCAUAUAAAAUAUAUUUGCUUUCUUAUAUAUAAUGGUUCUGACAUCCUUAUUUUAACAAAGUGAUGAUAUCACUAACAAACUAAAUAACACAUAUUUCAAUACACCAAUAGAUUAAAAAGAUACAGUUCUUAAUGUGUUAAAAUAUAUGUUUCUUGUAUAUUAUUGAUAUUUUCACUUUAACAAAGCGAGGGUCUCCUCACUAUAGAAGUACUUUAUAAAUAUUCUUUGUAUUUUUGUGAAAAUUAUUAUUUAAAAGUCAUAUCUUACCAAAGACUAAUAGUUUUUAUUUUAUCACUAUACCGUACUUUUGAAGAUAGAACACCUCAAUACCAUGACCUUAAUUUUUGAACUCUGCUGUACAAAGUUGUUGGCUGGUCUAUUUAGUUUAGUCUUUCAAUUAUUUGUCGUUUGAACUGAGAUGAUCCGAAUAAAGCUAUAUAUCAAUAAUUUCCUAGUGAAACUUCGGGAAAAAAAAUAAAAAUCCUCUCAUAUAGUGGCAUUAUUUUAAUUCUCAGCUUGAUUAUGUUUUGAGUUAACUUAUAGAUUAUUUGAAAUAAAAAGAAUAUAAUUUAUUUUUCUAACUAAAUAUUUUUAAAUAAUUUUGUUAAUUUAAUGAGUAAUUAUACACUUACAAAGUUAUGAUAUAAAAUUUAAUCUAAUUUAGCUAAGAUGUCCAAUUUAAUACUAAGAGCAAUGUUAAGGAUCCCAAUAAUUGAGUCUCAGCUGAUAUGAUAGUCAUUUAUUAGAUAAUCGAAAUAUUAAUUUUAUUAGUUAUGAAAUUUAUUAUCUAAUAAAAAAAUAACACAUAACAAUUGGGUCUCAAGUUAGAAUUCUACUAUCGAAAUUCCUAACAUUAUUCUCAAAUUAAAAAUUCAUCAAAAUAAUAUCUAUUAUCUAAAAAUAUAAAUAUAAAUAUAAAACCAUAGAUUUACUCUUCAAUCUUCGUGAUUUGGCCGAUUUCUCUUAAAGCUUUGGUUUCUUUAUAAGUGCAACGAGAAAUAGUAAGAAGAUUAAAAAAGCAAUAAAGUAAAACUUUAAAAUUUUUAUUUCUUUAUAUUUUUAUCGGUCAUUUGACCGGUACUGGCGUUUGAUUUUCUGACCGAGCUACUGUUUAGUUCUAAGUUUUGGCAAUUAGAACUGGUGGAUGUCGACUGUUCAAUAAUGAUGGCAGCAUUGACGCAGUGGAAUAAGGAUCACAUAUCUCAAACUUUAGGUGAUGAUAUUGUUAGAUAUUUCAUUGAUUGAGGAUCACAUGUUUUAUGACCACUAUUGUUAGAUAUUUUAUUGACUUACUAUGUAAGUCAAGCAAUUAUUUUUAAAUAAUGAUAUUAUAAUUAAAAAUCAAGAAAUAUUUAUAAUACUUAAAGACUAAUUCAGAUUAUUAUUAUUUUAUAUGACUUAAUUAUUAGCUGACAAAUAAUUAAAAGGUCAUAGAACAAUAUUUUUAGGUCAAAUUUGUAUUCUAAUAUGACACAACUUGUACUUUCAUUCCUAUGCUAAAAUAUAUCUAACCUACUAAUAGUCAAGAAAUAUAUCUAUUCAUCACAUACUUGUUAGAAAGAUUAUCUACUAAUUAAUCAUUGAGACGAGAUUACGAGUCUCAACAUAAAUUAGGAUAAAAAUUAAUACAUUGAAAUUCAGAACAUUUCUUUUUCCUCCUUCUGCAGUUUAAAAAGGAGUCGCCCACGAGUACUGAAAUAAUUUUAUCAGAUUCGCUUGAAAGUAGUUUUACGAGCAAGCAGUUUUUCCCUCUUGAUCCCCGUAUUCGUCAGCUCCUACUCUUUGCCUUCAAUUCUCAGUCAAGUAGUAUCAGUUUUUGUUGUCAGCUCUCUUGAAUUUCACUGGAUCAAGUUUUCUCUUGGCAUCUGUUUUGUUGUAAUCUCCAGUCUUUGUUAAUUAGUUUCUCUCCAUUCCCAAUCUUGUUGUGGCCUGCUGUUGUCUCUGUUUGGUUCCAUAUCUACCCUUUGUACUUCUACCGUGUCAAGAUACCUUCAUUUUUUCCAUCUCUAUUACCAGUCAAUAUUUUUUCCGUCUUUCUUCUGGUCAAUUCUUCAGUUAUUCUGAUUGGUUCCCUUCGCCUCUAUUAUCUAAAUCAUUCCUUAUAUUAAUUCAAUCAGUUCUCGAACUAGAAAUUUUUUCCUUGUUUCCAUCUUCUCACCAGAUCCAUAACAGCUUUUACUCUUUCUUUCAUUUCUCCGCUUCCAAAACCGGAUAAACUGUCCAUCUUCGUUGUUUCGUUUUUUUUUUUUUUCACUCCCUCUUUGUUUCGC
This 61067-nucleotide long non-coding RNA is filed under the name Citrus maxima (pomelo). RNAcentral describes it as "long non-coding RNA (CMAX_LNC001251)". The record is from RNAcentral. Lineage: Eukaryota; Viridiplantae; Streptophyta; Magnoliopsida; Sapindales; Rutaceae.